RNAcentral lists this long non-coding RNA (49783 nucleotides) under Citrus x clementina. RNAcentral's name for it is "Citrus clementina (C. clementina) long non-coding RNA (CCLE_LNC006776)". The stretch from base 15749 to 15852 matches the Rfam family "Plant small nucleolar RNA R71". Lineage: Eukaryota; Viridiplantae; Streptophyta; Magnoliopsida; Sapindales; Rutaceae. The record is from RNAcentral.
GGGAAAUCUCCUAGCAUUGUUAAAAGAACUAUAAAAUCGGGGAAAACUACUUGACAUCAUAAUGUUGGGAAAGGUAGUGUUGGUUAUGCAGCCUUCUCUCCUGAAAUUUUUUUCAAUGGAAAUAAUAUCAAAGGCAGCAGAAGGUCAAGCAACCAUGAUAAUAUACAACUUGCUUCAUGCCAAGUAAGAAAGGGAAACAUCUCAAACAGCGCCAAUAAGAAUUUAGAACUGUAUGCACAGCUAAAAUCCGCUGAAAGCUGAACAUCAGUACAGGAUGACAUUCACAACAUAACAUAUCAGAAUCACAAAUAGCAACAAUAUGGCAAACCAAAACCCAGUUAACAUAAAUAAACUGUGGAUGUUACAUAAUCUUCAAAAGUCAAAACCCAGAUAGCAAAAGCUAUGCACGCAAAAAUACAAUCUCUUUAACUUCUCCAAUUGAACAAAGCAAAACUGUAAGUGGGUAUCAAAUAACCCUAAAAACUCAGAAAGCAAAAGCAAUAAACAGCACAAAAACACAACAAAUAAUUUCAUAACAUAACAAAUUAGAGCCAAAAUUAUAUAUAUAUAAAAGAAUUGAACCGAACCUUUUAAAAGAAGUGAGAGGGACAUUAGGAGAGGAGCAAGGAGACCACUUUCUGGUGGUGAGAUUCGUGGAGACUCCCAUGACCGUUAUCAAGUUCCCAACUUUUGUUCUGCUAAACAGCAGCUUGUUGCCAGCGGUGCUUGUGCUUGUAAGAGCCGUUUUGAAGGGUUUAAGAGGGGGCAGAACAGUAAUAAAGGUGGGAUUUUGAGGGUGGGGUUUAAGAGUGUGGCGGGUCUGUGUCUGUUUCUGUAGCUGAAAUACCGAGUGUGGCCAUCAACGGUCAGAACUCAGCAGUCGGCACUACUUGACGAGCCAGCGACAAUGGUUACAGCUAAAACCCUUCGUUGCACUGGCGCCUUUAUUAUUACUUUUUUAUUUUAUUUUUCAAUUUUUUGCUUUUGGGUAAUUUUUGAAAAUAGCCGUUCAGGUAUGGCGUAUUUGCAAAAUAGAUGUCAAGCAUUGUUUAUUUUUUAAAACCCUCUGCAAAAUUUUGAAGUUCGACAUUUGUUAACUGGUUAAGAGUAAAAUCAUAGAAAUACUUGACAAAGUGAAAUACUCAAGUUUUGCGUAUGUAAUCAUUCAUAAUUAUAAUAAGUUAUUAUUUGUUUGAGACUAAGUUUAAAUUAAAUUCUUAGACCCUUAGUAUAGUAAUAUUAUAUAAUCAUAAUAAAUAUCAGGUUAAAUUCAAUACGUUAAUACUUUUUGUCUUAAUUUAUUUAUAAAAAUUGUUAAAUAAAUAGACUGUUUACAUCUCUUUGCUCUUUCUUGAUAAAAUCUAAGCCAAAAACUGUCACUUUUGAGGUAAAAUUAAAACAAAAAAAUGAAAAAUAAAGAAAUAUCAUGUUUCUAAUUCUCACAUCAAAUUAAAUGCAAUGGUAAGUCAACAAAUAAAGAAUGGCUCGUUAAAAGACUAUCAAUUUUGUUAAACACAUUUUGAUUGCAAAAGUCACUGUCUAUAGACAUAAAGUAUUUUUGGAUUUGGUUUUUCUAGUGGAUCUAAAGAAACUAUUUUUUUGUUUAUAUGGCUUAUUUAAUAGUCAUAAGUAAUUAUUUAAUUUCAUAAGCUCUUUUCAAAUUUAUUUUUGUAUUUAAAUUUUUCAAAUAGAAUUUUUAAAAAUUAAAUAAGUUAUUUUACUUCUAUCUGCAAAAGCUCAAAUUUUAGGCUUUUAGAGUAGAAGUUUAUUUAAAUAUUAAAAUGUUUAAAAGAUCCUUUGUUCAUUGAUAAUUUUAUUUCAUUUAUUUUAUAAAAUAAUUUUUUAAAAAUUUAUUUAUUAAAAUAAUUUUAAACCUUUUAUUAAAUGCUCUUAUUGACAACUAAAUAAUUAAAAAAUAUUUAAAAAACACUCUAUUUGUAAAAGUUUUACUAACAAUAGUUCUACUUAAAUAAGUUUCAUUUGAAAAUCUAUAUUUAAUGGAGCUUAAAAGUAUCAUGAUCAUUUAUUAUUAUGUAUUGGUAUGAAUUUUGCUUUUUUUUUUCCCCUAAAUUGUUUCAUAUGCACUUUUACAAAGAUUUCUCUCUCAAGUCAGGCCUUCAUUGUAUCUAAGGGCGUUAUGAUACUUUCUCAGUUAAGUGAUGGUCAACAAAAAAUUUAACAGACGACAAGAGGAUUUUAAUCAAUAAAAUGACUUUUUCCAUCUAAUUGCAAAUAGAUCAUACCUCAGGGGAGGUUACUAAAAAGUACGCACAAGAGAACAAACAUUUUAUACAGUGAUUGACGUCGACUUUGCCACGUGGGUAAUUGUCAUGUGUGGCCGUGUAGUUUUUCAGAUUCUCUAUUAAUUUUUUAAAAUUUUUAUAAUAAAUCCCACUUUUUAACCAAAAAAAAGUAUUUAAACGGAAAUCAAAUCCCUUCGUGAUUUAUUAAAGUUUUGUCUGAGGUGAUGUGUUUGCAUUGUUUAAAAUUUAAAAUAAAUUAAAGUUAAGUUAUUUAACUUUUACUAUUAAGUGGUAUCUAUUUAAAAUUCAUAUAUAAAAUAAGAAAAACAAACAAGUCAGAUUUUAAAAUCAUAAAUUUUCAAACUUUAGAUAUUUAACACACAAAUCUUAGUAGUGAUUUCAUCAAAGAAUCAAUAAGUUUUUUAUUUUGGCGCUUCAUUAUUAGUUGGUUGCACCAUCUCAACAUAUUAAAAUGGUACGCUUGUCUUGCAAAAAAAUUUCCUUCUAAAAUGUUUAUGUGAAUAAAAUUCAAACAUAACCAAAUUUCAAACAUUUUCAUUACCUCGAGAAGUUUUUAAUGAUUGCACAACCUAAUUAGCAUAUAUUAUUGUUACUAAUUACAUUUUUUCCCAAAUACUGCAUAAUUUAAAGUAAACACCUGCUUGAUUGGUGAAUAAUGUGAAUAAAAUUUAAAGAAUAAAUUUUACCAAUUAAUAUAUAUUUUAUUGAAUAAUUACAUUAAAUAAUACACAUUAUUAAUUUGAAGUUUUCUUAAUACUAGAUUAGUGUACAUUGAGUAAAACCUUGGUUGUUCUUCAAUAUUCGAUAUCAUGCCUUGCCUUAAGGAUUUGACAUAUGAUUCCAACAUCAAUUUGGUGGAACAAUAGAAUCAUAAUAUUGUAGAAACUAUUUGAAAAUACUUGUUGAAGUUAUUGGGACAAAAAAAAAAGGGGUACAUCUGAUGUAGGAAAUAAAAAUAAUUUUAAAAAAUUUAAAUGGAAAAAUUGGAAAAAAUAAAUUGAACAAAAUAAACAUAAAAAAAGCUUAAUCAAGAUUUCAUUGUUGAUUAUGAUCUUUAGCUCAACUUGUGGCUCUGUCGUUGCUCUUCUGCUACAUUAAACAAACAGAACCACAAGAAAAUUCCCAGCAAACUAAAACCAUAAAUAAACUAAAGAUUAUUAAAUUAAUAGUAAUGGGGACUGAUUUAUAAAUAAAAAUCCCCAAAAAUGUGGAAAACAUGUACCUUGAAACAAUAUCAUUGCAGUGGACAACGAUUUGUUUUUUAAGUGUUUUUUUUUUAAUCUUUCUUAUUAGUGAAAAAAAUAGGUAAAAUUGAAUUUUAAAUUUUGAUACUAACAAUUGAACAAACUUUUUUCAUUGUAUUUAUAAUUAAACCAAUUUUUUCAUUAGAUUUAAAAAAAAAAUAGGAGAGACUACGAGAGGAUUGUAAGCCAAUUACAGUAUCCAUUUGCAUUCUUCUUCUUAUUUGAAAACUUUUGCCAUCCCUCGCACCAUCAUGCUUUGUUGUAGUUGUAAUUUCUUUAUUGUUUCUUUUUUUGUGAGCUAAAUACUCUAUUGCGGUUACGACAUCGCUCAUCUUGGCCUUGUUCCAGCUUCUUCUUGCAGACUCAUAUUGCUGCCACUGCAAGUUCUUUGGUGGUGUUUAGUUGGGAGGAGAGAAUAGAGGAAAAGAAAAUAAUUUAAUUUCUAUUUUUAUUUUCAUUGUUUGAUUGGGUAAAAUAUAUAAGAAUUUAAUUUUCAUUAUCAUUUAAUUUUUUAACUUGUUUAUUUAAUUAAAUUUAAUGAAUGAUUUAAGAAACUUAGCAAAAUAAAUAAACUUGUUUAUUUAUUUAUUUAAUAUGAAAAUAUAAAAAUAUAAAUUAACCAUUGUCGGAACUCUGACAGACCGUCGCCAUAUAGUCGCCCGAUAUCUGCGGGACCAUAGCCAAAACUCUAUUAGACCGUCGCUGGAACUCUGCCGGACCGACGUUUUAUAUAUAUAUAUAUAGUAAUUUUCCAAUCAGGGAUUCCUGACUUUAAUAAAGUAAGGGAUUAGUUAAAAGACGAAAUAAACACAGACUCCAAUGCACUGUAUUUUGUUAUAUAAUAUAUUAAAAUUUAAUUUUUUUGUCUUUUAGCUAAUCUUUGACUUUAAUCAAGUCAGGGAUUGAUAUUAUACAUACAUACAUACAUACAUACAUACAUACAUACAUACAUACAUAUAUAUAUAUAUAUAUAAGGACUUUUUAACAUUAAAAAAAUUUGGCAUUGAUAUUAAAUUGUAUUUCAUUAUUAAUAUAGAUAAUUUAGUAUUUAUAGAGAGUUUAGUAUUUAAGGUAAAGGAUAAAUUUGUCCAAAGAAAAAAAUUGUAAUUAUUUUUCCUAUUCAAUUUUAUGUCAAAUUAAAUAAUGAAAUUUAAUUUCAUUAUCCUCCUCUACUCCUUUAUUCCACUCUUUUCCUUCUCUUCCCCCCCUUUUUUUUAAUUAAUAACCACCAAAGAGGUGGGGGGUUAGGCAGGACUCCUACCUAUCAGAUAAAUCAAUAAAAAAGUAAUUACAUUAAGAGGGUAACAGAACCGAAAACCUCACAAAGAAGAUGUAAAUACAUAAAAAUAAAACAGAAAAUACACCAUCUAUUGAAACAAUAAAUCAACAAUCCUAUCGUCUGACAUGAGGGAAAGUUUGCGCAUCUAAAUGAAGAAUGCCAGAUAAGCCCGCAUGUAGAUCCUGAGCACACAAGAAAUGUCGGCUAACCCGGUGAGAGUAAGCCCAAUUGGCCAAAAAAUCAGCAGCAGAUGUAGCCUCCCGAAGCACAUGUCUAAUCACAAUGUGAAAGGAAGAUAUCAAAGGGCACACCCAACGUAAGAAGUAAAUAUAAUCCUAACGAACAAGGCCCUGGGAGUGAAUUCAAGAAACCACCGUGGUUGGGUUUGAUUCUACCUCAAGUGCAGAGUACCCACGUUGAGUAGCGAGCUCCAACCCCUCGCAAACAACCAUAAGCUCACCUUCUCCUCCCCUUUCUUUAAAUCAGACAUAGCCUUAGUACAAACCUUUUAUAAGGUAGUUCAUUUUUUACUUUCUUGGUGACAAAUACUUUGGACAAUGAAUUUUUAACUCAUUUGACAAUAUUAUAAAAAUUCACCCUGCCCCUGCCCCUCCCCCUCCCCCCGGUGUUGAUGUUUACUUGCGUAGUGACAGUAUGGGGACUGCGUUCCUUCGUAUUACUAAGCUUUAGCUUCUGCUAGGCUCGCUGUUGUGCAAAUUUUAAUGUACUCGCAAGCGCACGAAUCUAUUGUAGUAUAGAUCUAUGGUGACGAGUGUCGAUCCCACGAGGAGGUGGAUUUUAAUUGUGUAUAGAAUUAAUUUUGUAAAUGGGUUGUUGGAUUUAUGGUGGAAAUGAUUUGGUAUAUGCUAAAACUUAAAUUAAAAUGGCGAGAAUAAAUUCUAAAAUUGGAAUUGCAAUGGCGAGAAUAAAUUGAAGAUAAUUCUAUUGAAAUGACGUACUUGGGUAUCUGGAUCCGUAUCAACAUGCAUCAUGGGCUAAAUAAUCCGUAUUAAUGCCAAUUAAAUCAUGAGGGGGGAAUCCACACCUCAUGGACCACGCUCUAAUCAAUAUGGUGCUAAGGGCUUAUCGUGCCAAAUAAUAAUAACCUUAUACUAGAGAACCGGUGUAACCAAGGCGGUAUCUAGACAAGACUAUUAUUAUUUGUCGAUGAGAAGUCAAAACAUCCACAAAAUUUAGAGGGGAAGAGAAAAUAAAUUUACCAAAUUAAGCCCAUGACACAUGUUGAGACUUCACCUUCAACCCAAGCUUGAAAGAAAAUUAGCCACUCAUAGUUGAACUAGGGGUAAAAUGGGAAUUUAUUAAAAUACGAAGAAAAUACAAGAUGGAGAAGAAAUUACAUAAAAUGGAUCCCAAAAAUGGAUUCAGAGAUAUCAAAUUAGGGGGGGGAGACCCCCUUUUUAUAGAUACGUGGAGUAAAUCAUGGCCAUCGGAUUAAAAACAGUUUGGACGCUCAGGAUUGUGCCACGUCAUCAGUCAACAGUCCACGGUUUGACCACGCGGAUGAACAGUAACACGGUUUGACUCGGAUGAACAGUAACGCGGUUUGACUCGGAUGAACAGUAACGCGGUUUGACUCGGAUGAACAGUAACGCGGUUUGGUUGAAAAUAAUCCUGUGUGAUGCAUGUACCGUACGCGAGAUUUUUCAUCCACUGAUAUGCUGCCACGUCACCAUCAACAGUACAUAAGAAUUUUAGCCCAACAGGAUCGUGACACCUCAUCAGUCAAUGCCACAUCAUCGGUCAAUGCCACGUCAUCGAUCCGUCUAUGUGAACAGUGUUGUGAACAGUAACGUAGUUUGUACCGUACACGUGAAUAGUACCGUACAUAUGAAUAGUGCCAUUUUUCCUUUUAUGCUCCUCCUAAGGUUUUCGACUGUCCUGAGUUCAAAAGUGAUGUCCGUUUUGCCGUCUGAUCUCUCAUUUAUUGUGAAAUGACUAUAAUGCCCCUAAAAUACAUAAAAUACUUAAUUAAAAUAAAACACAUGUAAUUAAAUCACAAGAAGGUUAAAUACAUAAAAGUAAGGAUUGUUAGUAAGACUUGAAAUGUAAAAUGACGGUUUUCUCCUUUAUAAAUAUGCAUUUUUUAACACUCAACACACCCCCCAACCAGCUUAUUGCUAGUCCCUAGCAAAUAAAGCGAAAACAAAAUUCAAAUUCAAAAUAUUGUUUUUUUUUUUUUAAUAGAAACACCCGUAUUUAUUCCGUCAGAUUAAUGAUAGCAAUCAAAUAAAAGUAUAAGCAUUAUCUCCAGUCUAAAGCAACAUCACACCCACAUCAACCAUCCACAUGAAUCAGCCCAGUAGACUUUGUCAUAGCUACUUUCAAGAAUGACAUGUCAAACCCCAAAAUCUCACUGGAAGUAGUGACACUCUCACAAAGAAAUUAAAACCAAUAAAAAUAGUCACUCCAAUGAAUGGUAAUUGAGAGAGAAAAUAAUAAAGAAGUGAUAUCACAUGCUCUCACCAAGAUGAAAUAAAUAUGCCCUCAGCUUAGAAAUAAUACGAUCUCAAGUCAAACAAAAUUGCUAGUCAACCCAAUUUAUUUAUCUUUUUUUUUUAUUAUGCAUCACUACAUUUUUUUAGCCCAUAUAACUAGCUUCUACUUCAAACUAUAGUUCCCUAAAAUCAAGAAGGACUUUUAUUUGGACGUAACGUAGGCUAGGGAUAUGGUUAACAAAGAAAGGAAAUAAGGAAAACAAAGUGUAUGUUUGAGAAAAAUGCAGAGAAUUUUUUUUUUUUUUGGAAGUUGCAAGGUGGAUUUCACCUAUUAUUGUUAUUUUUAUUCUUUUGAAACAACAACUUUUGUUUUGUUGUUUUUUUUUUUUUUGCUAUAACUUCACUGAACAACAUAAUUAUUUACAUUUUCUCAAACAUAAAUAGGUGAUGUAACUUAUAAGAUAUUGGGUAAUACUCCAAAUCGGAGUGGGUCAAGAUGAUAAGUUGACAAAGAAAAUAUAUAUUUUUUUUAAAGGCUCAAAAGGGUUAACUAUGGAUAUUUAAUAAAAGGGGUGGCUAGAAAGGCUCAAACGGAUCAAAGAUGGCCUUUCCAUCGUCUUUUAGAGCUCUAAAUAACCUUCCAUAUCUACUAGUUAGAUGGGCCUCCAAAUGUAGCAACACACUUUUUUUUCUUUUUUUUUAUUUUUAUUUUUAUUAAGGGUUAACUCAAAAGAAAUCUAGAGAUCGUGUAUACAAUAAUAAACUGUUAAGCUGUAUAAAGAAUGAGCAAAAGGGUUACUCUCCAAGAAAAAUGAUAAGCUCAAAAACUCACUUGGUACUUAUUAUGACAUGUUCAUUCCUUCAAGCAACUCACAUUUGUCUCCGACAUCAACAUGUAAAGUAGCAAACAUAGCGUAACAUCACUUAAGACCAAAGAUAAUACAAAUACUAAAAUUUGAAAUUAUCAUGUCAUCCAAAACAAAUCAAAUUUUUUAAUUUUGUUUUUUUUGUAAACAACAUUCUACCCCCCAACCUAUUCUAAACAUGAAAGGGAAAAUAUGCAUGCAGAAAUGGGGAAAAUGAUGCAUAAAAACUAAUUAGGAAAAGUUACACGUAAAAUGAUAGAAAACGAAAANNNNNNNNNNNNNNNNNNNNNNNNNNNNNNNNNNNNNNNNNNNNNNNNNNNNNNNNNNNNNNNNNNNNNNNNNNNNNNNNNNNNNNNNNNNNNNNNNNNNAAACGAAAAUGAUUUUUUUUUUUUAAAGAAGAUGCGUUUCUAGAGGAACUACACUCCAUAUUCAGCCAUCUUCGACUCAAAAGUUGGAAAAUGUAUAUUUAUAGAGGAGAAAUUAAAAAGAAGAAAAAUAAACAUAAACACAUAAUAAAGAAAAAGAAAAUGUCUACAUCUUUUUUUUAAGUUUUUUUUUAAAUUUUUUUUAAACGAUGAAGAUGCGUUUCUAGAGUCACUACACUCCAUAUUCAGCCAUCUUCAACACAAAAAGUUAGCAACAGUUAGUUUCUACAACAAAAAAUUAGUAAAAACUUAACCAAAAUUCCACAAUUGUCGACUAUUCCCUCCCCCUAACCAGAACGAAACAUUGUCCUCAAUGUUUGAAAUGAAAGAAGUAGAGUUUAGAAGACAUCACCUGGGUGGUGCAACACAGAAAAUAAUAUUUACAAGCGGAGAGUUAAAUCUAAUUUGUACUUCUUACUGCGGCUACUGUUACCAUCAUUAUGUGGAUACUCCAACACAAAGGUCCAGAGGUCUGGCUCCGGUUUAUAAGCUUGUAACAGAUCAAGUAGCUCAUUAGCAGUGUGAGCACAAAUAAAGAGUUUUUUCACAUUAGCGGGAAUGAAAUAGUUUUUUAUUGCAUGGUUAAGAAAUGCGAUAAAGCCAUCAUAAAAGUUAUUGACAUUUAACAAACCGAUGAGUUUUUGGUGGAUGUGCAGAUGGGCCCAAGAUGCUAGCGUGAUAAGUGCCUCUAGUGUUGCAAGAUCUCCUGGAAGGAAAAUAAAAGCAUCAGCAUGAUUAAGCAUUUCAGUUAUUCUUUCUUGCAUACCUGAGACGACUAACUCUUCUCCAGUUGAUGAGUCAGACGAACUGCCCAAUGGUUUUAAGACUCUUGGGAUGAUGCCUAACACUUGACUUCCUCUGAUAAAAGCUGCUUCUGAGACCAUUUUUGAUAACCCUCGAUUACCUCCUCCAUACACCAAGUGUAAUUUUCUCGCUGCUAUGCUUCGACCAAGAUCUAUGGCUGCCUCAACGAACUCUUUAUGUUUGCCAUAUGUAAAUCCAGAAAGCACACAAAUGUUCUUGAAUUGUCUAUUGGGAGUAGCUGCCAUUGUGAUACUUCGCAAAAAUAAUUUGUGAGUGAUUGACAAAGAAAAUCACAUUUAAGAGUCUUGGUGAUAGUGGGUCAUAGUUGUGUAUGAGGUCACAUGUCCAUGUCAAAUAACGCGUAAAGCACGUGGCUCGCGAGUCAAAAAGAAAACAGGAAAAAGGGAAAAGCAAACAGUAAUAAGGAAAAAGCAAACAGUAAUAAAAUUAUUCAAGACAAUAAUGCAAACAAUAAGACAAUAGUGAAAUAAAAUAACAAUAAAGUAAAAGGAUAUUUACAGGUAGUUGCGACUGUGGCUCACAUCUUCCUCUGGUUUUACGUCCAGAAACGGCUUGAACGUCCUCUAUGGGUCGAGGAUAGGCUUCCUAUCCAGUUUUCUUAUAAACUGGCAAACAGGGUCGUUUAUAGUCAGAUUCCCGAGACUAUAUCGCGCAUGCUCUUUCUGAAAUAAUGACCAUAACUGGAGAAUCGCUCCUUGCACAUAUCCACUGGGAUGCGUUUCAAGAGACAAAAGGAUAUCAUCCAAUGACUCCUUAUUCAAGCCAUCCCUAAUGAAUUGAAUCUUAUCUUCCCUGUUAUCAGACAUCAUUCCUAAAGAACAUGGGUUUUUAUUGCAACUCAUUCUGGCACACUUAUGACAAGCAACAGAAAUUCUUCGAGCUCGUCGUUUUCUUGCAUAAUUUCCUUUACCACAACCAGGCAUGUAUGCAAUAAAUUUUGGAGGUAACUCACCUGCCGAUCGUACUUUAGCCUCGAUUAACCAACGGAUAUCAGCAGGUAUGUUAUUCCUCAUGAGUAAUCGCAUGCGUUCGGACCGAGCUUUAUAGAUCGUAAGGAGUGCAUUCUGAGGAAGUGAAGGGAAUCGCUUGUGAAGCUUCGCUAGAAUCUCGUUUCUGUCCAUACAUUCGCCUCAGAAUAUCAGUUAUUAUGGGAAACUGAAGUAACCGACUUGAUUAUCACGGAGUACCGUUAUCCGCCACUUCACCGGGGUAACAAACUAAAGCACACAAAUAGAAAAACAAAUUAAAACACACAAAGAAAAUUAAAAUCGUCCUCUUAUUGAAUUUACCUCAAGCUCCAACUGGAUGUCGUAAACACUUCUCUCAAUGUCUCUGAGUUGGCGUUCUAAACCCUCAACAUAGGUUACUAACUCUGGUGGUUGUAGAGCCCAAAUGCGUUGUGUUUUACAAAAUUGAAUCUGCCUUUUGAGAUGAGUUUUGACACGUUGAAGUGGUUUAAGAAUGUUCAGGAGGAACGGUCUAAGUAUGAGACUCAUGAUUAAAAAUGAUAAGAGAAAACUUAAUGGUAAAAUAAACACACUUAUGCAAAAACAAUUUCAAUUAGCAAAAGAAUAAUAAUAAAAAGAAAGAAAGAAAAAUCAAAUCAACGAAAAGAAAAAAAAUCAAUUCAAAUUUGGUGGGUCACUCAAAUUUAUUUCGGUGUCUUUUUCAUGUGGUUGGUACUCUAGAUAUGACUUUAAUUUUUGACCAUUAACUUUAAACGUGACACCGUUCUUUGGGUCUUUAAUUUCAAUUGCCUCAUGUGGAAAAACAGUAUGAACAAUAAAUGGGCCAGACCAACGAGAGCGUAACUUACCUGAGAAUAGGUGCAGGCGAGAAUUGAAUAAAAGCACUUUCUGACCUGGAGUGAACGAUUUUCUCAUAAUUUGCUUAUCAUGGAAGACUUUCAUUCGUUGCUUGUAAAUCUUGGCAUUUUCGUACGCGUCAUUGCGAAUUUCUUCAAGUUCUGCCAGCUGUAAUCUUCUUUCUGAGCUGGCUUGCUGCAUGUCAAAGUUGAAUUUCUUGAUGGCCCAAUAUGCACGAUGCUCAAGUUCCACAGGUAGGUGGCAAGCUUUUCCAUACACUAGCCUGUAGGGUGACAUCCCAAUCGGGGUCUUGAAAGCCGUUCUAUAUGCCCAUAAUGCAUCAUCAAGUCUUAAUGACCAAUCUUUCCUGUAUGGCCUCACCGUUUUUUCUAAUAUGUGCUUUAUUUCUCGAUUGGAUAUCUCAACUUGGCCACUGGUUUGCAGAUGAUACGGAGUUGCCACUUUGUGUGUGAUUGAAUACUUUGUCAAAAGAGCUUUGAAUGCUUUGUUACAAAAGUGGGCACCACCAUCACUGAUUAUCGCUCGAGGGAAUCCAAAGCGUGAAACAAUGUUGCUUUUCAAAAAUGCUAUCACCACCUUGUGAUCAUUGGUUCUACAUGGAAUUGCUUCUACCCAUUUCGAUACGUAGUCAACACUAACCAAUAUGUAUUGAUGGCCAAAAGAAAGGGGAAAGGGUCCCAUGAAGUCGAUACCCCAUACGUCAAAAAUUUCUACCACUAAAAUUGGAUUUAAUGGCAUCAUGUUCCUUCGUGUAAUGCUCUCCAUUCGUUGACACCUAUCACAUGAAGAACAGAACGUGUAAGCGUCUCGAAAUAUAGUUGGCCAAUAGAAACCACAUUGUAAAACUUUAGUCGCUGUUUUCUUAGCACUGAAAUGGCCUCCACAAGCUUGUUCAUGGCAGAAUGAAAGAAUAUUCUGAAUUUCAUUUUCUGGGACACAUCGUCUAACAAUUUGGUCUGCACAAUACUUGAACAAAUACGGGUCAUCCCAAAAGAAAUUCUUUAUCUCUGCAAAGAAUUUAGCCUUGUCUUGCUUGGUCCAAUGCUCUGGAAGUUUACCUGUAACAAGAUAAUUAACUAUAUCAGCAUACCAAGGUAAUACUUCCACAUUCAUUAAUUGUUCAUCUGGAAAUGACUCAUUCAAUGGUAAUGAUUCUGUAAUUGUGUCAAAAUGGAGUCGAGAGAGGUGGUCUGCCACAACAUUUUCUGUCCCUUUCUUAUCUUUGAACGAAUUAGUCUAGCUUUUGCAUCUUUCUUUGUGAUAAGAUAUUUAAGAGCAGCAUGAUCUGUGAACACGAUUAUUUUACAACCAAUGAGAUAAGAUCGAAAUUUCUCCAAUGCAAACACUACUGCUAGCAUUUCUUUUUCAGUAGUUGAAUAGUUCAACUGUGCAUCAUUCAAUGUCAUACUAGCAUAGUAAAUAACGUGGGGAAUUCGAUCAACUCUUUGUCCUAAUACUGCUCCUACUGCAUAAUCAGAUGCAUCACAUAUGAGCUCAAAUGGUAAGCUCCAGUUAGGGGCCUGAAUGAUAGGUGAUGAUGUCAACAAAUGCUUUAAUUUUUCAAAUGCCACAAGACAUGAAUCAUUAAAGACAAAAGGUGCAUCCUUAGCAAGUAAAUUGCAUAAGGGUCUAGAAACUUUGCUAAAAUCUUUAAUGAAACGUCUAUAGAAACCAGCAUGCCCAAGGAAAGAUCUUACUUCUCUGACUGUUUUGGGUGGAGGAAGAUUAGAAAUGAGAUCCACCUUGGCUUUGUCAACCUCAAUACCUUUGCUCGAAAUGAUGUGACCGAGAACAAUACCUUGUUUUACCAUAAAAUGGCAUUUCUCUCAAUUUAAGAUCAAGUUCUUCUCGAUACAUCUCUGUAGAACUAGUGUUAGAUGAUGUAAACAUUGAUCAAAUGAGUCACCAAAGACAGAAAAAUCAUCCAUAAAGACUUCAAGGAAUCGUUCAACCAUAUCAGAAAAAAUGCUCAACAUGCAUCGUUGAAAUGUAGCAGGUGCAUUACAUAAUCCAAAUGGCAUUCUCCUAUAUGCAAAUGUGCCAAAAGGGCAAGUGAAAGUAGUUUUCUCUUGAUCUUUUGGUGCUAUGGGAAUCUGAUUAUAUCCUGAGUAGCCAUCUAGAAAGCAAUAAAAUUCAUGGCCUGCUAAUCUAUCAAGCAUUUGAUCAAUAAAUGGUAAAGGAAAAUGGUCUUUAUGUGUGACAGAAUUCAAUUUUCUAUAAUCAAUGCAUACACGCCAUCCUGUAGUUACUCUAGUGGGUAUCAAUUCAUUAUCAGCAUUGGUAACUACUGUGACUCCUGACUUUUUGGGGACGACUUGUACAGGACUGACCCAUGAACUAUCAGAAAUUGGGUAAAUGAUACUUGCAUCUAAUAACUUAAGGACUUCAAUUCUAACAACUUCUUUCAUAUUAGGAUUUAACCGACGUUGCAUUUCCCUAGUAGAUUUAGCAUUUUCAUCGAGGUGAAUGUAAUGCAUGCAGUCUACUGGAUUUAUACCUUUUAUAUCUGCUAUGGUCCAUCCUAAUGCUCCUUUGUGCUCUUUUAAAACAUCCAACAACUUACCUUUUUGUUCGUCAUUGAGGUAUGAUGAGAUGAUUACCGGUAGAGUACUUUCUUCCCCCAAAAAUGCAUAUUCCAAAGUGUUGGGUAAUGGUUUGAGCUCGAGUUUCGGUGGUGAUUCUGAUGAUGGGAUGAGUUUCUUCUCUGAUGGUGCUAGUUGUUCAACUCUUGACUUCCAUUUAUUAGUGUCCAUAGAUGGUGCUGAGUCAAGCAGGGCAUUGACCUCAUCGAGCGAUCUGUCAAUAUCAAAAUCAAAACCAAAGUGAGUUAAACAUGUUUGUAAAGGAUCAUCACUAAGGUUUGAAAGAAAAGUGUUAUCAACUAUUGUUUCAAUUAAAUCCACAUCAACAAUUCCAUCAUCUGCAUUGUAAGGUUGUUUGGCAAUGUUGAAGAUGUUCAGCUCCAUAGUCAUGUUGCCGAAGGACAACUGCAUAUUUCCAGUCCUACAUUGAAUGUGAGCAUCCGCAGUUGCCAAGAAAGUUCGGCCUAGAAUAAUGGGGAUGUGCUUCCUUGAAUCCUAUAUUGGUUGAGUGUCAAUUACAAUGAAAUCAACAGGAAAAUAAAACUUGUCUACCUGGAUAAGCACGUCCUCCACAAUACCACGAGGUAUUUUCGUGGACCGAUCUGCAAGCUGUAAUACCACUGGAGUUGGGUGUAAUUCUCCAAGUCCAAGUUUCACAAAUACAGAAUAAGGCAACAAAUUUACACUAGCUCCUAAAUCCAACAAAGCAUUCUCAAUUGUGUGGUUCCCUAUACUACAUGAGAUAGUGGGGGAGCCUGGGUCUUUGCAUUUUAAAGGAAUUUUAUGUUGGAGUAUAGAACUAAUGUUUUCUGUUAAAAAUGCCUUCUUUUGAACAUGCAUAUUUCUCUUUUUAGUACAAAGGUCUUUAAGAAACUUGGCAUAAGAUGGAACUUGUUUAAUAGCAUCUAGCAAAGGGAUGUUAACACUUACCUGUUUGAAUAAUGGGGAAUCUCACCUGUGGAUUUUCCCUUCUUUCCUUUCACUAACCUCUGAGGAAAUGGAGCUUUAGGAACAUAUUCUCGUGGGUUGGUUUCUUCUUUUUCCUCCGGUGGUGAGUCCUCAACAUUCACAGGUACGAUUUGAUUUUCUUUUGUCACCGGCAUCUCCACUUUGUUGUCGACUUCUUUUCCUUUUCGCAAGGUCAUGACUGCUUUGACUUCUCCAUGCUGCUGUGGUGAACUGGUACUUGCUUCAUGCACUCCUUUAGGGUUAGGCACUGGUUGACUUGAAAACUUACCUUUCUCAACGGUCAUUGCCAAGGUCUGAACUGAAGAAGCAAGUUGUCCCACCAUCUUCUCGAGGCUUGAAACUGAUUGGGCUUGUGAGUUGAAGCCCGCUCUCAACUCAUUUCGUAGUCCAUCAAUGGUGCGGUUCUGUUGCUCAAUCGUGGAGUGAGUAACAUUCCUGAAAUUCUGGAAUGCAUCCUCCCAUGGUCUAGGUUGAGAGUGGUUCUGGUUUUGAUUGUAUGGUCUAAAUAGGGGCUGAGAGGCUUGAGGAUUUUGAGGAAUUGGUGGAGCUGGAGCUGCUGGUCCAUUCUGUUGGAAUCCUUGAGACCAUGAAAAAUUGGGGUGGUCUCUCCAUCCAGGGUUAUAUGUGUUGGAGUAUGGGUUGUAAUUUGAUGGCUUUCUCAUUACACCUAUGGCAUUGGCUUGAUCUGAGUAUGAGUCAUGGUCAUGUGGUUCUGUUGAUUUAGCAGUCGAUAACGAUGCUAUUUGUCGAGCAAGACCUUCAACCAUCUCCUUGACUUCUUUGAUUCCCGAAGUUGACUCGCCAAUUUGAACCUCAUUUACUCCCUUAAUUCGUCUAGUAUUCCUGAGUGAUCGACUCCGUUGUUGGGAAUUAUCCGCUUGUCGCUGGAAGAAUUCCCAAAUCUCUGAUGCACUUUUUGACAUUAGCUCUCCUCCACUUGUUGCCAUUAGCCAUUCUUGCACAUUCGGCAAUAAUCCCUCCAAAAAGUAUUGGCAUUGGUGCCAUUUCUCAUACCCAUGAUGUGGACACUUCAAGAGUAGCCCAUUGAAUCGCUCCCAUGUCUCGAAAAACUGCUCGUCCUCUCUCUGAGUAAACUCUGAGAUUUCCCUGCGAAUAGCAUUGAUUUUAUGCACUGGGAAAUAUUUAUUUAAAAAUUUAGUUACCAUUUGUUCCCAUGAUGCAAUGCUAUUAGCAGGUAAUGUAUUAAGCCAUGAACGAGCUCUAUCUUUUAAAGAAAAUGGGAAUAAUCUGAGUUUAACAUCAUCAUCUGAAAAAUUCUCAUAUUUAAAUGUUUGACAAAUUGCAUGAAAAUCAUUCAAAUGAUUAUAUGGGUCCUCAUUUUCUAGGCCAUAGAAUGUGGGGAGACAAUUUAGCACACUAGGUUUUAGUUCAAAACUCCUAGCAGCUACAUUUGGGUAUCUUAUGCAUGAUGUGCUCAAAUUAGCUAAGGGACUAAAAUAGUCCUUAAAUGGCCUCUCCUGUGGUGCUUGUAAAUUUUAUUUUUUACUUGUUUGUGUGUGCGAAGUGUUUUCUCAAGUUCAAGGUCUAUAGGUUCAAGAUUGGGUAAUAAUGACCUACGACCAUGCAUGCAAAACAAAUAAAAUAAAAAUAGAGAUGGGAACAAAACAAAUAAAAAUAAAAAAGAGGGAGAAAUUACGAUACUAACCUUAUUGCGCUAUUACAACCUUUCUAUAAAAAUACACAAAAACAAAUACGUGAAAUAAAUUAAAUAAAAAUAAAUUAAUAAGAUAAAAAAAAUUAAAAAGAAAAAUAAAUUAAAAAAUAAAUUACAGAAUUUUAAAGAAGAGAAAAAAUAAAAGAAAUACUAACCUUUAAAUGUAGAUUCACUUUUUUUUCUUUUUUUUUAAUUAAAAAAAAAUACAAGAAAACAAAUAAAAGAAAUUAUUCACAAAAAUUAAUUAUGAAUUAAAAUUACUUACCUCCCCGGCAACGGCGCCAAAAACUUGUUGUGCAAAUUUUAAUGUACUCGCAAGCGCACGAAUAUAUUGUAGUAUAGAUCUAUGGUGACGAGUGUCGAUCCCACGAGGAGGUGGAUUUUAAUUGUGUAUAGAAUUAAUUUUGUAAAUGGGUUGUUGGAUUUAUGGUGGAAAUGAUUUGGUAUAUGCUAAAACUUAAAUUAAAAUGGCGAGAAUAAAUUCUAAAAUUGGAAUUGCAAUGACGAGAAUAAAUUGAAGAUAAUUCUAUUGAAAUGACGUACUUGGGUAUCUGGAUCCGUAUCAACAUGCAUCAUGGGCUAAAUAAUCUGUAUUAAUGCCAAUUAAAUCAUGAGGGGGGAAUCCACACCUCAUGGACCACGCUCUAAUCAAUAUGGUGCUAAGGGCUUAUCGUGCCAAAUAAUAAUAACCUUAUACUAGAGAGCCGGUGUAACCAAGGCGGUAUCUAGACAAGACUAUUAUUAUUUGUCGACGAGAAGUCAAAACAUCCACAAAAAUUAGAGGGGAAGAGAAAAUAAAUUUACCAAAUUAAGCCCAUGACACAUGUUGAGACUUCACCUUCAACCCAAGCUUGAAAGAAAAUUAGCCACUCAUAGUUGAACUAGGGGCAAAAUGGGAAUUUAUUAAAAUACGAAGAAAAUACAAGAUGGAGAAGGAAUUACAUAAAAUGGAUCCCAAAAAUGGAUUCAGAGAUAUCAAAUUAGGGGGGGAGACCCCCUUUUUAUAGAUACAUGGAGUAAAUCAUGGCCAUCGGAUUAAAAACAGUUUGGACGCUCAGGAUUGCGCCACGUCAUUAGUCAACAGUCCACGGUUUGACCACGCGGAUGAACAGUAACGCGGUUUGACUCGGAUGAACAGUAACGCGGUUUGGUUGAAAAUAAUCCUGUGUGAUGCAUGUACCGUACGCGAGAUUUUUCAUCCACUGAUAUGCUGCCACGUCACCAUCAACAGUACAUAAGAAUUUUAGCCCAACAGGAUCGUGACACCUCAUCAGUCAAUGCCACAUCAUCGGUCAAUGCCACGUCAUCGAUCCGUCUAUGUGAACAGUGUUGUGAACAGUAACGUAGUUAGUACCGUACACGUGAAUAGUACCGUACAUAUGAAUAGUGCCAUUUUUCCUUUUAUGCUCCUCCUAAGGUUUUCGAAUGUCCUGAGUUCAAAAGUGAUGUCCGUUUUGCCGUCUGAUCUCUCAUUUAUUGUGAAAUGACUAUAAUGCCCCUAAAAUACAUAAAAUACUUAAUUAAAAUAAAACACAUGUAAUUAAAUCACAAGAAGGUUAAAUACAUAAAAGUAAGGGUUGUUAGUAAGACUUGAAAUGUAAAAUGACGGUUUUCUCCUUUAUAAAUAUGCAUUUUUUAACACUCAACACUCGCCUUCUUUAUAAAAAAAAUAUUAUAAAAAUUCAUUUCGCACUUUAACAAAAUGUAGGACCUCUUAUUAAAAAAUGCACUACAUAUAUAGCGUACUUGUAUGGUUUAGAAUCUUAAAUUUUAUGAAAAUCUAAAAAAACUAUUAUGACAGUCUUGAUGGAACGACGGUUUCCCUUUAAGGCCAUUCCAUAAGGAUUGCCGCCCUUCGUUUUCCACGUGUUAUCCAUAUGAUCCGUCCCUAUAGUGUUAUCCUCAUCACAUCUGUACGAUCCAUUUCGCUAUCUCUCUCGUUCUCUCACUUGUAUAUAUAAUUGAUACAAAGAACAAGCUGUACGUAGAUGUCCUUCAAUAUCCUUGGUUUUAAUUGUCUUAGUAUUAUAAUGUCCGUUCCUUGCAUCCUUCUACGAGUUCUAAACGAAGUUGGCAUAAUUAUAAGAAUCUUAAUAAUGGUAACGUUAAUCGAUCGACGGGGUCAGGAAAAAGAAUAGAAUAGAUUAUUUAAUUUCCAACAGCUUAAUUUUGUCUCUCCGCGAAUAUAAUAAUCACAUUUAUUCUACUACUUUUGUGCCUAUUGCUUAUUUUAUCCGCGAAUAUAAUAAUCACACGUUUUUAAAGUAAAGGAGAUUUUGGAAGAAGGCUGUACGGUUUGGAAAGAGGUUUUGAUUGAUAUAUAAAAAAAAAAAAAAAAGAGUGAAUUUACUCCAAGGCCUUUGGCGCAACUAUACAUAACAUAGAAAUUACACUUGAAAAGGGUGAAUAAUCAAUUAAAGCAGCGGGUGCUACAACCGACCGUAAAAGAGAGGAAAUCCGCCACAUUUCCUUCUGAAAAGGUCCUUGAUUUUAUCCAAAAGCGUGCAGUGCCUAAGCCCAAAGCCUUUUGCUAUUUUGUUGAUUACUACUGCCCGUGACAGGCCAAUCCUUGGUCACUCUCAUGACUAAGGUUUUGUCUGGCCGCCACAAUCAUUAAAACAUGAGGGAAAAUAAAUGGGAAAUUAUCAAUUUUUCAUCUGAUUGGUAAAAAUGCAAAAAUAAUUGAAAAUUUUAGAACUUAUCAAUUUUUUUUUUCGCUAGAAAAAAUAUAUGAGAUUUGACAGAGAAUUAGGUCUUGAUUAUUACUGGUGUAUUGUUGGAAAAAAAGUUGUAAUUAUAAUAUAAAAUUAUGUGACAAAUAUAGUUUUUAAAUAAUAAUUUUAAUAAAAAUAGUAAAGAUUUAUAGGUUUUCAUCAUACAAAUGUAAAAUUAAAUCAAACUUAAUUUUCAAAUUACAACAAUAAGUGUUUACUAAAUACUUUUAAUUCUGUUGUUUAAAAAUUACCACUACCCAACCACAAUAACACAAGGCCUUCAUCUAAGUUAAUCCCGGCAAAUUUCUGAUUGUAACUCAAAAAAAUCAUAUUAGUAUUAAAAAAAUCAACACCUAUUUUUUAUUAAAAUUUUUUAAAUAUCCUAUUAUAUGAACAAAACACAUGCUCGAUUAUUUUUUUUCAAUUAAACCUUGACCAGUAAGGCAAUUUAUUAAAUUAAAAAGCAGGGAACACUUAUUUAGGGGACAUAAUAAACUAUAUCCCGCAAAAUAAUUUUAGAAGAACCAAUACAGAUGGGUGGCCUACAAAACAAGAUGGUUUAGCCGAAAACGAAAAAAUAAAAAAACCAUCACUCCAUAUUAGCAUUAUUAUGAGAGAGGAACUUAGGAGUUUCUGGAAGUUCAGAGUCCCAGCAAGUGAAAGGAGCAGCUCAGGCCCGAAUGAGCUAGGCAGCCGCCGCACAGCCCCUCGAAAGUGUGGGUAAUUGUCUACGAAAAUUCAUUUGACUCACUAGAUGACAACAAUUAAACACAUGCUCGAUCGAAAUGCCAGUGUGAAUGGAAUUUUUAAUCAUCAAAAUCUUUAACCAAUGAUUAACACACUUGUUGUUAUUCAAUGGAGUUGUGAUUUUUACACCCCUCCAAAGUCCUUAUAAUUAAUCCACCUUUUACAUACACGCGACUACUAGAAGUUUUGAAAAUUAUGAUACUUUAAUUUAAUUCCCAAUCAACCCUUCAUAAAUAUUUCUACAUCUCUAAAGUAAUUGUUUACUUUCUAAUGUCCCUUGUAAGUAAAUGAUGAAGGCUGAUUUUGCUUUAUUUCUAUUUUCAGUAUCGCUCAAAGAACAUCAACGGCCCCAUUUGAUUUUCGCCUUGGGUGUGAAGCUAAAAGAUCUAUGUUAUCUUCAAUUAAGUAUUCCUUUUACUUAAAUGUUCUUUUAUCUCUCUUUUUCUAAAACCUAAAUCAUUCAAAAAAAAAAAUUGUAAAAUUUCACCCAAUUUAGCCGAAAAAUUGCCAUUCCCACGGUAUUGAUAAUUGAGGAGUGAACAACUUGCAUCUAUCAGCGGGAUUGCGGGAAAAAGAAAACCUAGAAAGAGAGUUUGCUCUUGAAGGGUUGUAAGUUUGUUCAGGGGUUAUUCGUAGAAUAAAUAUUAGAUAAUUGUAAGCACCGAAAUUUAAAAACUCUUUUAAAUGGAUUUGUUUAGAAAAAAAAAAGGUUCAUAAGAGUUCCGGAAGGGGUGCUAAUAGCUCAACUCCAUUCAAUAUUCGACGUUAUGUCUUGGCUGGAUGUGAUGAUUCAUUGAUUCCAUUGCAUCAAUCAAUGGUACUGUGGAAUAUCAUCAUUAUUUUGCCUUAAAACAAUUUCUAAUUUGUUUCUUGAAUGUUCUACAACAUUCUGAAAUACAUCAAUUUAUGCUUAAUUUUUUAUUUCAUAAUCCAAAAUUCAAGGGUUCAUUUGAUUUACGAUUCAGAAAUAAUUUUCAAAAAUAAAAAAAAAAAUUUUAAAAUGUGAUGAAGGUUUUAAUGUCUUUAUUUUCUUUAUGAUUUAUAUUAAUGGCAACCUAAUCAUCUCCCCACCUAUGUGAAAGAGAUUUGAAUUCUAAACCUCUUUUUUCAAGAAAAGGGAUUUUCACCAACCUAACUAAAUGAUGCAAGUUUUAAUAUGUUUAUAUAAUAUCCAAAAACAAUAAUUUCAACAACUGAAACAUGUUUAAAAUAAUUUCUAAUUAAGUUAAAAAAAAAACAUGUUUACGAUAUCCCCUGUUCUUUGUGUCUACAUAGUGUUUGGUCCAUCAUGUGCAAAUUUUAUGAACUUGAAUCCAGUGGCUCCUGAUAAGAGACACAGCAUUCCAAUAAAAUAGGAUAUUCUUUAUUAGAAGCUCACUCCAUAUACAUGUGUGUGUGUGUGUUUGUGUCAAGAAUCAUUGCUAUUAUAACAUGUGCAUUAGAAGAAAUCAUGAUCAUUAUGGAUUACAUAAUUUGGUGGAAGAUGAAUUUGUGAUUUAUGAUAAUUUUCUUAUUAUCAUAAUUUUAAAGGUGAUGAAUCCGUUAUUUAUUAUUAUUUUUAAUAUAUUUAAUGAAUUUUCUUUUUAAGAUAGCGGGGUGUGUAAAGGCCAAAUCAAUUUGUAUGAGAUGUCUUAUAAAAAAUUAUUAAAUUAAUGAUAAUGGAGACUGAUUUAGAAUAGAAAUUGCCAAAACAACAGAAAUGAUGAUUGGUUUCUUACUUUUUGUCUUUUGUAUAAGUUAGACCUUGAAGCCAUUUAAUUGAAGCAAGAGGACAGUGAAUUCAAUUGUUUUUUAAAUUCGCCGGAUGCAGCUGAAUUUUAUUUUUCUUUCUUGAUGAAUAAUACUUUGGACAUUGACUUUUGUUUUGAUCUAAAUUUUUAUCAGCGCAUAUACACGUUCGCGUUGGUUGUCAAUAUAAUGCAAUUAACUUCACUGACGAUAAUGAGUAACAAUUACAUGUGUUAACACAUUCAAUAUUUAAUUCGAAAUACACCCAGUACAUUAAUAUUUUACAUGACAUGAUACAACACACCCAAAGGAAAAACCACUGUAAGAACCAAGUAAAAUAAUUAGAGGUGCAAUACAUAUAAAGAUUGCCAUCCUAUCAUGCAUACAACUUAGAAAUAACGCGUGUACUUCUUCUUCUUCUUCUUCUUCCAAGGAAAAUUAUUCAUAAAUUCCAAGUAAUAGACCUUCCCAUUAGCCAAAAAAUCAGCACAGUAAGGAAACUCCAUGAGUGCUAAAACAAUCACUGGAAAGAUAGCAGCGGCAUAGAGAGCAGCGGUCCAUUUCUUCUCCAUACGAAUGAUGAGUAGAAGUGAAGCCGAGAAAGUAAUCAUGCUUGUUAGUACAGAAAAGAAGAGCAAAGUGAAGCCAACCAUCAACUUGCGCGGAAGUUCUCUAAGGAAAUCAGAUGACUCACGUGGCGACGUGAGGAUGGAUAGGAACAUAACAACGGAUGACAAAGAUAAGGCCAAGGAGGCAACGUCCAUUACAGUAAAAACAUAGAAAAGUGGUGACUUAAGGAAAUGGGGAAACCCCUUAUCAUUGUUACCUCCAGGUAUGGUGAAGGCAGCUGUAAAGACGACGGUUGCGAUUAGGAUUGCCAGCACGGAGCAUGCCUGAGAGGUUUCUUUGAUCCAUUCUUGUGCUUUCCUAAGUUGAUCUUCAUGUGUUAGAUUAAAGAGGUCACUUGCAGUCAUCUUAUUUUUUUCGUCGCGGUGCAUAGCAUAAUGGCGAGGCAUUAUCUCUUUUACAUGCUGCAUACACACACACACACGUUAAAUAGGGAGGGAGGCCUAUACACAUAGCCACAUGUGUAGUCAUUAUCUCUGUAGCAUUUUAAAAUAUAGAUUCAAGGUUUUACUCAAUUGUAAAAAACUUCUAAGAGGGUUGUAAAAGGUUUUACACAAUUAAAGAAAAAAAAAAGUGUUUUAUAAAAUAAUGAAAUGGUGAAUCACCUGAGAAUGAAUAUACAUAUACAUACAUAUAUACGUAUAUAUAGAGAGAGAGAGAGUGAGUGAGAGAGAGGGGGAAGGGGAUAGAGAGAGGGAGAGAGUACUAAUUUAGUCCAAGAUUGUGUACUUUAUUAAAGUUUAAGAAAACUAUUAAACCACAUAGUAUAUAUAGGGGGAGAGAGCGAGCAACGAGCGAUUAUUUAAUAACAGAUCUCUUAAGUUAUUAAAGUAAAGAAUAAAUUAAAAGACAAGUAAAAGUGCAGUGUAUUUUAUCUAGUAAUAUAUAUUGAUGUAUGUGUUUUUCUUGUUUUUUAACUUGUCCCUUAUUUUGGUAAGUUAAGGAGAUCCUUCAAUGGAAAAAAAUUAUUUUACAUAUAUGAAGAUACUCAAAUAUGGUGUCUACACAAAUUUUUUGUGUGGAUUUUAGGUUUUAUAACCGUUUGAAAGCCUUUCACAUUAUUUCAAAAAUAUUUUACACUGUUCUAAAAUCCUAUAUCUGCAUGAAAAUUCAUGUGCACAUAAGUUAUAUGUAUAUAUAACUGAAUAAAUUACAUUUUGUGGGACAAAAUUAAAUAUUAUCGAAGGGCUUACCUCGAACAAUUGUAACUCCUCCUGAAAUUGGAGAACAGGGCCAGGGCGGGUUCCUUCUUUAUAAUGUUUCAUGUCUGCGACAUGGUGCAGUAAUGUGUAGCCUUUCUUGUCAAUUCUUGAAGCCCAUUUGGGCACAGACAGUUGCAUUUCCUUCGUGAUGAGUUCAAAGACCUUAUAUUGACGACGCUUUACGGCCACAUGUAAUAUAUUCUGCUCUUUCUCAUUCAAGUUAUCUAACAAUAUUGCUUGAGGAUGUUGAUGGAUUAUCUCCUUCAAAAUCUCUGUUAUUCCAUUGCUUGCUGCAAAGAGUAGCGUCAACCUGAUUGCCCAAUUCUUAUCCUUUUUAUGAUUAGGAACUCCUUUGAUAGUGCAAUCUUUCUUCACAAACAAUUCGACCAAUUCUGCAGCUGAAAAAUCAACAAAUUUUUUUGCCUUGAUCAUAUUUCCUUUGUUAGUGCAAUCUUUCUUCAGCAGCAAUUCGUCCAAUUCUCCAGCUGAAAAAUCAACAAGUUUUUUUGCCUUGAGCAUAUUUCCUUUGCCUAAUCCUAAGGAAAUUGUGGAAAUAUUAGCUGGCGAAGUUGUGGAACUUUCUGGGUCCGGCGAGAAAAUUUCUGGGUUCGGCAAGGAACUUGUGGAACUUUCGGGGUUCGACGAGGAAAUUUCUGGGUUCGGCAAGGAAGUUGAGGAACUUUCUGGGCUCGGCAAGGAAAUUUCUGGGUUCUGCUCUCCAUCCCCAAGACAAAGGGUUUCUUCUUUAACCAGCUUUUUGAGCAGUUUAUUCACAUUUUUAUGCAUUUGCUUUUUCAUCCAGAUUUUCUUUAUCGCCGGACGUCCUGGUCAUGCAUGCAUCAACACCUUGUUAAUUUAUAAACAAUUUCGCACGCAAGUGCGGCAAAUCCAUUCAUCAACUGAAUGAAUUGCUCAAGUUAUGUUACAUUUCCCCUGUUCUGCUGCGUAAUUCAUAAAUGUAGAAGUAAUUAAUGAAAUUAUUAUUGGUCGCACCUUCAAUCACUUGCCUCCAAAUGCCAAUGUACAUCUUCCAAAUUGGAAUUCCUGCAUUUUGAUUAACUGCUCAGGCGCAAUUUUAUAACUAUAUGUGUAUUUAUACGAUAUGAAAAAUUAAUGCCACCACAUCAAAAAGGAAACCGCUCCCUAUAAUAAAAUACUGUGUGUCUGGACAAAAAUGGCAUGCAGGCACCACCCUUCUAGAAGGUGGGCUUGCUCAUUUUGAAAAAGGAGGCGCUGAUUCCUUCUUUGACUCGAAUAAAUGAAAAAAAAGAAGGAAAAAAAAGAGUGAUGCGGCACCGCAUAGAUUAAAAGAAAAAAAUAAUAAAAUAAUAAAAUCAUCCAAUUCUUCUCUUCUUCUUUAGAUCCAUUUUGAGACGAGAAAAAGCCGGUGAGAGUUGAGUGAUUAGUGAGUGAGAGAUUGGGUAUAUUGAGAUUCUAGGUAGUGAGCCAAAAUAUUAUAAUAUUUGUAAUCUUAAUUUCACUAGUAAAAUAUUUUCUUUAUAUCUUCGCCCAUGGACGUAAGUUAAAAGCCAAAUCAUGUAAAUUUUGGUGUUCUUAUGUGAUUCUGUUGUCUUAUGAUUUCUCAAUUUUACUUUAGUUGCUUGUAUGCUUCACCAAUCAAUUUCCAAUAUGUCUUUGUAUGAAUUGGUAGUUAAUCUUUGUAUCAAUUGGUAGUUAAGGUCCUCAUCAUGAGAAUUUGUACAAGUCCAUAGAAAUUAAAGAAAAAAGGAACUUCAUCUUUUCCCCGUACUAUUUAAGGUAUUUCACACUUCCCGCCUUAGUAUUUUCAAAAUUGGCAUACUGUUAUUGCGUCUAGAGGAUUCCACUUCACUGUGAUGAUUCUUCAUCUAUAUCUAGUUUAUUUUUGAGUUACCAAAAAAAACAAAGGGAAAAAAUCGACGUCUAAAAGAAAACUAGCUUUUAUAUUAUAUUAUUUAUUGUUUAUUUAGGUCUCAAAACUAAUAUUCUGUUUGGCUUCUAAGAGACAAUUGCUCUAAAAUGAAAGUUUUAGUUAUUAAUGGAAAAUUCGUGGGUAUUUGGUAAAGCUAAACCACUAGAUGUCAUAAAAGUUCUUUUUUUAUUCUCAUUUUUGGAGUAAACUUAUCAAUAAAUAAUUGUGAAAAAUAAUCAAUUUAAAAGGCAAACUGAGAAAGUGUUUACAGCUGAGUCGUCAAAAAGAUAGCCAAAACAAAUAUUAUGACUUGUAACCGCAGCUAAAGCUGUUAGUUCGGAUUUUCAUUUUUUAAUUUAAAGAGUUAUAAUGAUUAAUGAAACCACUAUAUUAUGAUUAUGAACAAAUUAAAGCUGCCUCAACACUACCUCUCGUCCGCUUUCUGCAGGCGACGCAAUUGUCAAUUUUACCAGUUUCCAAAUCUUCUUUGUAAUUGUAGUCAACGCAAUCGUCAUCAUCAUACGUUGGAAGACCUGCAAUUAGAAAUUGCAAUUGUAACGGCAUGCACCGAAGUCAACUGGACUAUAUAUCCCCUUAGAGAUGGAACUAUAUAUAUGUGUAUAUAUAAUUACUAUAUAAAAAAUGCUAAAGAAAUUGAAGGCUGCUAGAAUGUUGACAGGGAUAACGGUAUAUCAAGUCGGGCUUACUACAUGGUAAUCUCGGCCAACACAGUAACCCCGAACGGAUGUAUUUACACUUCAUUAAUCAGCUUUAAUCUCUUUCAUAUGGUUUUUGUAUCCACGAAAGCAAGAAAUAAAUGCAUAUAUUCACGUACAAGAAGAGACAAGACUGGUCCAUAUCUCCGCGGUCUUCGAAUAACUCUUGAAAGCAGAUGGCAUUAGAGCUAGUAGUUGAAGACAUGUCAAGCCAUCAGGCCCCUCGGACGUUAGUUUGUUCACAAGGCUUGAGUGGUGUUUAAGUAACCAAAUAGCAGUGUCUGUACGUAUUCAUGCAAGCAGAUUCAUUAAUUAGUUAAUUAAGAAGACAACUAAUAAAUUUUUAAACUUUAAUUUAACUCUUUUUUUUUUUAACAUAACCCAAAACCACCUAAAAUAGAUGUAAAUAAAAUUUAAUUUAACUAUUGAUCUAUAUAUGAAUGAAUGAAAGAGAGAUUUAAUUACUAUAUUUUACCGAAGUGUUGGCCAAGGACAGCCAUAUGAAGAACGGUCUUGCCAUCAUUUCUACGGAAAUGAUGACGUAAGUCACCAACUUGCUCAGUCCAGAUUUGCAACAGUUUAGUUUUCCCAAGAGCAGCAGCCCUGUAAACUGGGGUUUCCCCCAAACCGUUUUUAGCCUCAAGCAGAUUUUUGUACGCAUCACCAGACUGUCUGGAAAAGUCAAUCAAAAUCCUGGCCACGUCAAAAUUUUCGACGACGGCCGCUUCGUGAAGACCAUUGUUUCCAAACGCAUCUGUUUGCUUCAAGACUUCAAGUCUGGUCUCCGAUGUUAGACUUUCGAGAAAUUCCUGGAUCAGCUGAGGGUCUUCCAUGGCCGCUGCAAUGUGAAUUGCUCUGUCCCCGUUGACUGUCCUGUAAUCCAACAAGUCUUUAGCAGUUCGUUGAGCAAAGUACUGCAAGAAGCCUCGACAGUCUCCCUUCAAGGCCAUUCCAUAAGGAUCCAUUUUUCUCUCUCUCUCUCUCUCUCUCUCUCACUCACUCACGCUAUUGUAUUGAAUAUAUAUAGGUUUAAUCAUUCUAGAAGUUCUAAACGAAGUUAUCAAAUUGGCACAAUCACUUUGCAUAUUAUAUUAGUAGGGCUCAAGCAUACUAAUUAUAAGAACAGAAUAAAGGUGAAGUUAAUCCAACAGCUUUGCUGGUCCCUAUUCCUUUUUCUGCGAAUAUAAUAAUCACAUUUAUUCUACAGCUUCUAUCUCCAUUGCUUUUUAAUUUCCGCGAAUAUAAUAAUCACAUUUAUUCUAAAGUAUUAAAAUACCUAAGAAUUUUGACACUUACAAUUUCUCCACCCGAGGUUUAAAAAAAAAAUCAUCUUUUUUCACCUUGGCGUUAAGAAAGUUGGAAUUUGUUAGGAAAUGUUUGCAAAAUGAUAAUUUUACUCUUGUAAUAUAAAUAAUGUCGGAUUUGAACGUUUAAUUUCAGAAUAUUUUGCCCUUAAACAAUUUCUAAUUUCCUUCUUGCAUAUUUUUCGACAUCGUGAAAUACAUUAAGCUUAUUCUUCAAUUUUUAUUUCAUAAUGACAUAAUCCAAAAGUUUGACGAUUCAUUUGAUUUAUGAUUAUUCAAAAAUAUUUUUCAAAACUCAAAACAGAAUCUAAAAAAUUGAGUUGAAGUUCUAAUAUUAUCUGUUUAUUUUUAACAUUUAUCCAAUUCUCUUCCCUAUUAGCGGGGUCGAAAAUUGACCAACUUAGAAAGCCAAACUGGCAAGAUGUUUACAGCUGAGCUUUCAAAAAGCUAGCCAAAACAAAUACAGCCCAAGUACAAUCGGGAGUCGUAUGUGUAAGUUGGUUAUGACUUGUAACCGUAGCUAAAGUUGUUUGUUCGGGUUUUGAUUUUCGAAUUUAGCGUUAUAAAGAAGCCACUAUUUCAUGAUUAUGAUGAACAAAUUAAAGCUGCUCUUUCGCCAUUACUCUUCUCUGCCUGGCUGAUGCGAUUCUGCAAUCCUAACUGUCUUCAAAUCUCUUUUAUAAUUGUGGUCAACGAUAUCCUCAUCCAGAUACGUUUGGAAGACCUGCGAGUAAAAAUGCGAUUGAAUUUAACUCUAUAUAUUUUAAGUUCUAAUGAUGUAGACCCGCAAGUAUUUUUUUUUUUUUGUAACUUCACUUCAUCGUAUAUAUGUAUAAAUGCAAAUUAAAUAAUUAUUUCUCCUAAUUAAUUUGCUUAUUGUUUCCAUUGCAAAGGCAUGCACCUAGGUCAACUGGACCAUAUAUCUCAUAGGAGAUGGAACUAUACGUACAUAAUUAAUGUAUAAAAAAUGCUAAAGAAAAUGAAGGUGAAUAGAGGUUUGACAGAAAUAAUAGUAUAGUAAAUUGGGGUUUAUUAUGUUAAUUAAUUGAUUUUUUAAUUAAGUCUAAGUCGAUGUUUCUGUCAAAAUUUUCAAUCUUACUCAUGAUAUAUAAAUAUCAUGCAUAUGUUUUUCAAAAGAGAACUGAUAUUCAGUCAAAAUACUAACAAAAAUAAAGUAAAUCCGGCCAGGUUUACAUAGUUAAAUGCCAACAUAGUAACCCUGGCUAGGUGUAUAUAUACUGUAUUUGUCAGCGUUUAAGUCUAUUUUAUCAUUUUUUUUCCUCCAUGAAAGGUAGUAAUUAGUUUAUAUAUCUACGUAUUAAGAAUGUAUGGACAAGACUCGUCCAUAUCUUCAUGCGCUUCGUAAUCUUGAAGAUAAUAAUAAAUUUUUAUACUCUUGAUUUAUAAAGAAAUAAAUUCAUUAAUUUAUGUAUAUAAAUUCACCAUUAAUUACUCAUGAUCACCAGCGCGUUUCUAAAAUGCAGAUUGAACGAGAGAUUUAACUAUUAUUACCGAAGUGCUUGGCAAGGACAGCAAUAUGAAGAAUGGAGAUACUAUCCCAAAAAAUCUUCAGCUGUUAGUUGAGCAAAGUAAUCCAAGCAGCCAUCAUUACAUUCUCUCAUUAAGGCUAUUCCAUAAGAAUCUCCCUUCGUUAUCCUCAUCUCAUCCAUAAACACAAGCGCCAUCUCGCUUCUCUCUCUCACUUGUAUAAUUGAUACACUGAACAAGCUGUGUUCUUCGAUUUCCUUAAGUUUAAUUGUCUCAAUAUAAGUUGGCAUAAUCACUUUGCUUAAUUUCUUAAUGAAGUUCAAGCAUGAUAAGAAUAAAAUAAAGAUAAAGUAUUUAACCUAUCGGGUUCAGAAAAGGAAUAGAACAAAUUAUUUCAACGACUUUUGUCUGCAUUGCUUUUUCAUCGAAUAUACAUAAUAACCACCAAUUCACCAUAUUCUCAUAACGCAAAGGCGAUUGUGCUUUGCCUAAGCCUUAAGCCUUAAGUUUUUCGCUAUUUUAUAAAGAAAUCAUGACCAUUAUGGAUUACAUUGAAACGAUCCGCCCCGAACCAUAGGGGUGAGUCUAUUUAGUCUCAUCAAACUGAAUAGAUAAUAAUCUAAUUAGUAGGGAUUCUGCUAAAAAUUUGACAAAGUUUUCUUUAUAAAUAUGACACUUCGAGCCUGUAAAUAUGUAAUACAAGUACUCCCAAAAUAAAUCAAUAUACAACCAACUCCAAGAAUCAACAUUCUCAGUCAAAAUGCUGAAUUAUUACCUAAGAUAUCUCCAAAGUAUUGAAAGAUUAUAUUAGAACUAAUAUUAAUAUACAUUAGUUUAUUCUUAAUCACAAAAGAAUAAUACAACAAAAUUUAUACAAUCCAAAAAAAUAAAAGAUGAUCUGGAUGUCCUAACAAAAAAAAUCAUCUAUAUUUUCUAACACCAUCACGUGACCCAAACUCAAAAUAUAUCUAUAGUCGUUGGGUCGAUUUGGUGUACUUACAACCUCUUAUUGGGAGGAGGGGGGGAGGGGGGAAUAUAAUAAAACGAAAUGAGUAUAAAACUCAUUGAGCUCAGUGAGUGAUUAUUAUUUUUUUUUUGGAAAAUAAAUUUACUAAAAAAGAUAAUUUAAUCUUUUUUUAAACGAUUCCAUCAUAAUAUCAUAAGAACUUAAAUAAAUUUAUUUAAUUUAAAUCAUGCACUGAUAAAACAAUAAUACAUAAUACUGUAUAAAAUCAAGGAAAUCAUAACACUUAUAAUAACAGAGAGUGAAUGCCAAAAUUAUUACUAAACAAGUAUCCAUGGGAAAUAAUAUUGUCAUAUCCGAACCUCAACGGACGGGUAAUGAUGUACUAUCUAGAUACUAAUACUAUCAUGCCCUCGGGCUACACGGAUAGACGGGGAGGUGUCAUCUCAUAUCUCAUCAUAUCUGUACAUGCAUAAUCUAAUCCCCAAAGGAUAAAAACACCCAAGCACACAUCUCAAAACCUUUAUGUGUAUUUAGACGGGUCCUAAAGGUCUAUAUCUCAUCUGUAUCAUCUCUAUCUGUAUUAUUGUUAUCAUCAUAUCACAUGCAUAUGCCCUCAAAAGGCAGAACGCCUUGAAAUAGAUUUUAAUCACACAUUGAUAUUUUAUUAAAAUAUUUGGUUAAUAGUUUUUCGUAUUGAUUUUGAAUAAAUUAUGAUAGUAUUUUAAAGGCGAGAAAGAUGGAUUUAGAUGUGAUAAUGAAAAGAAAAUAGAUUUUAAGUAUGUUAAAUAGAAAAGAAACAAGGUUUAUAUUAUGAUUAUAUGUUUAUGUAUAUGUGUAUAAAACAUUGUUUAUAAAAUCAUUUGACAAUACCCUUCCUCAGUUACAGUGAUACAUAUAUGAUGAGGCUUUUAGGGCCCGUCUGAUCACAUAUAGGGGAUUUGGGCCGUGUGUUCAGAACAUUUAAAAUAUUUAUUUCGCAAACAUGUUUUAGUAUCAUAAUUAACUAUGAAAGUAAGUUUUGUAUAUUUUACUCAUAGUGAUGAUUUUUAGAUUCGGUUAUCGCCCAUGUUCGAGGACUGGUUCUCGCUUGCAGAUCCUUUUAAAUUAAGGAAAUGACAUAAUUAUUUUCCGUAAAUUGAAAUUAGAACUAAAUUCAUACAAUAAACUCAAAACGAACAUCUAUCCAUAAUUUACAACUUUCAUGUCGAUAAAAUUACUAAAAUACCCUCGAAUCCGUAAAUCAUUAGAAUACUCUAAAAUUGUAAAUCACUACAAUACCCUUGAAAUCGUAAUUACAUCUGAUCCUCAAUUUCAGAAAUUAUUAAAAUCUAUAUUGGGUCAAAAAUUACAAAAUCACCCUCAAAAUGUGAAAUUAAUGAUUUGCCCUCGCCAACGGUAACCCGGAAGGUCAAGUGUGAAAUUUUCAGCCGCGAUGAGUCUAAUGGUGCCUGCAGUGACCUCCCACGUGUGGAGACGGUGGCAGAUCGAAGUCCCAAAGCCGUGAGCUUUCCGGCCGCCGAUCGACAGCAAUCCGGCCGUUUCGGGUGGCGGGAUUGGUCAGAAAAUGAUGAGGAUGAGCUAAGGAUCAAGAUCCAGGCAGUGGCGUUAUCCAAAAUGGCGGAAUCGACAACGAGAGGAGGUGGGUUUUGCCGCAGCUUUUCGAGCUUCAAAAGGCCGCAUUCCGGUCAGUUUUCGGCGGCGAGGAUGGUACAGAAAUGACGGCCGUCUUCCAAGCUUCAAAUCGGUACCUUGAUCGGCCGGAGGGGGUCGGAAUUGCGAGAUCUGGCCGGGUCGAUUUUGUGUCAAAGGGGUCAGGUUUUCUGGACAGCUUCCUCCCCUCCCUCUCUCACACGUGUGGUCUCUUCCUGUCCUUCAAGCCUUUUAUUUAUUUAUUUAUUAUUAGUAUUUUCUUAAUUUUUUUUUUUACGUACAUAAUUUGGAAGGUGAGGAGUUCGUGAUUUAUGAUGAUUUCUUCGGAAGAAGAUGGAUACGUAACUUAUGAUGAUUUUUUUACCAUAGUUCGGAAGAUGAUGAAUCCAUAAUUUAUGAUGAUUUUUUAAUAUAUAUAAUUUUUGUUUUAAGAUAGUGAGGUUGCAAAGCACAAAUCAAUUUUUAAUUAAAUCUUAUCAAAAACUAUUAAAUCAAUGGUAAUGGGACCGAUUUACCGUACAAAUUGCCAACAACAUAAAUGGUGAUUGAUUUGUUACUUUUAUGCAAUUUUGUAUAAACUGAGCCUUGGAGCCAUAUGAUACAAGAAGAGUCUGAAUUAUUAUUAUUAUUUUUUCAAUUGUUUCUUAAAUUCGUGGAUGAAGCUGAAUGUUUUUUUUUUUCCUUUCUUGAUGAAAAAUAUAUUUUUUGGAUAGUGACUUUCAUUCUGAUCUAAAUUUUCAUUUGAGCACAUACAUGUGGGUGUAAGUUGUCAAUAUAAUGCAAUGAUGAUUCUAUCAACUAAAAAAAAAAAAAUUCAUAUUGAUGAUAAUGAGUAAACAGAUAGAUCAUACAUUCAUUAUUUAAUUUGAAAUACACACAGUACAUUAUUAUUAUUUGCCACACCAAACCCAUCUUUUACAUGAAGUAAUACGACACACCCAAAGGAAAAUAUAUGUGAGAACAAUGAGAUAAAUAGCGUUAAUUAGAGCUGCAUUACAUAUAAGGAUUGUCAUCAUAUCAUGCGUAUGUAUUAAUUAUUAACGCCAAUGCGUCCUCUUCUUCUUCUUCGAAGGUCCCAAGUAAUCCUUAAAAUUAGCCGCAAAAUUAGUAUAGACAGGAAACUCCAUGAGUGCUAAAAUAACCACUGGAAAGAUAGCAGCAGCGUAGAGAGUGGCGGUCCAUUUCUUCCCCAAACGAAUGAUGAGCAGAAGUGAAGCCGAGAAAGUAAUCAUGCUUGUUAAUACAGAGAAGAAGAGUAAAAUGAAGCCAGUCGUCAGCUUGCUCGGAAGGUCGCUAAGGAAAUCAGAUGACUCACGUGGCGAGGUGAGGAUAGAUAGAAACAUCACAACGGAUGACAAAGAGAAGGACAGCGAGGCAACGUCCGUUACAGUAAAAACGUAGAAUAGUGGUGACCUAAGGAAAUGGGGAAACCCCUUUUCAUUGUUACCUCCAGGUAUCGUGAAGGCAGCCGUAAAGACGACGGUCGCGAUUAGGAUUGCCAGCACGGAGCAUGCCUGAGCGGUUUCUUUGAUCCAUUCUUGUGCUUUCCUAAGUUGAUCUUCAUGUGUUAGAUCGAAGAGGUCACUUGCAGUGAUUUUUUUUAUUUCGUCGCGGUGCAUGACAUAAUGGCGAGGCAUUAUCUUUUUUACACGCUGCAUACACACACACUGUAAAAUAAUAGCAAAUUAAGCUAAAUGCUUGUUUGGUUACUGAGAAAAUAGAUGAACUCUCUGGAAUAUUUUCUUUUUCAUCAUUUAAGCAAUCGUUACAGACUCUGUUUAUAUACUCUUUAUUUCCAAGCUACAAUUGAUCAAAUAAGCAUUGCACUAACUAACCAAUCAGAAUAUUGCAUCACUAACUAAAAGCUAAUCAACUAACUAAUAGACACGUGAGCUUUCAACAAUCUUUAACAAAAUUAGCUGACUCAGCACUGACGUGGCAUUGCUGAAGAAUCUUUGACUGCUGGCUUCCUUUCUUGUUUUAACUCAGCACAGUGAGCUCUCUUCACACACACACACACAUAUAUAAUGCAUGGAGUCCAUCCGAAAAUAUAAUAUUAGAGUAUGCUUUUAUUUAUAUAAACACAAUGAAUAAAUUAAAUGUACUUGGGGGACAAAAUUCAAUAUUAUCAAAGGGCUUACCUCGAACCACUGUAACUCCUCCUGAAAUUGGAGAACAGGACCAGGUGCGGAUUCCUUGCUUAUAAUGUUUCAUGUCUGCGACAUGGUGCAAUAAUGUAUAGCCUUUUUUGUCAAUUCUGGCAGCCCAUUUGGGCACGUACAGUUGCAUUUUAUUCAUGAUGAGUUCAAAGACCUUAUGUUGACGACGCUCUACGGCCACAUGUAAUAUAUUCUGCUCAUUCAGCUCAUUCGCCUUAGAUAAUAGUGCUUGAGGAUAUCGUUGGAGUAUCUCCUCCAAAAUUUCUGUUAUUCCGUUGCUAGCUGCAAAGUGUAAUGUCCUAUCCUGUGUUGUGGCGUUUUCACCAUCCUCAACUGGGUCCUUAGUGCCAUCUUUUUUCCUCAGCACCUCGAUCAAUUCUUCAGCUGAAAGAUCAACAAGUUUUUUUCCCAAGAUGUCCUUUCCUUUGCCCAAUCCCAAGGUAAUUGUUUUCGUUGUUCCGGAAGUUUCCGUUGUUCCGGAAAUUUCUAGUUCCGUUGUUUCGGAAAUUUAUAGUUUCGUUGUUUCAGCCUUUUGGGGAUUAGAGGGAGGGUUCGACCUUUUUAUUUUAACCAGCCUUUUGACAAGGGCAACCGCAUCUUCAUGCGUUUUCUUUUCCUUCCAGAUUUCCUCAAUCCAUGAACAUCCUGGUGAUGCAUGCAUCAACAUCUUAUUAAUUUAUGAACAAAAUUAUGCACGCAAACGGCAAAACCGUUCAUCAAAUGAAUUGAAGUUAUUAGACAUUUCCCCUGUACUUCUAAUGUGUAUCAUAUAUGUAGAAGUAAUUAAUGAAAUUAUUAUUUGUCGCACCUUCAAUCACCUGCCUCCAAAUACCAAUAUACAUCUUCCAAAUUGACGUUCCUGCAUUUUGAUUAACCUGGUCAGGCAAAAUUUUAUAUGCACAUAAUUAUGAUAUGAAAAAUUAAUGCUAACGCAUCGAAAAGGAAGCCGCUCGGACUCAAGUUAAAAGCGUGGGGGUUUAAAUAUAAGGAGACAUGUGGAUGCAAUUUAUUUGAGAUGGUAAAUAUUUUAAUCUGCAAUUUGUAGAUAAGCUCCUUACCAUAAGAUAUGCAUGAGUCCAUAGAAACUAAAGAAAAGGGAACAUAUUUCCCCCAACUAUUUGAGGUAUUAUUUACUUUUCCUCUCGAUAUUUUCAAAACGGUCAUGUACCUCGUUGUUAAAGAGAGAAUACAUUAAAACAAUCCUUUUUACUAUUUUGUCCUUGAAACAAUAUACUUUUAUCCUAAAAAUUAAUGAAUAAAAUAAAAUCUAAAUAAUUAUUUCAAUAUUAAAUUUGUUAAAAUAUAGAUUGCAACAAAUCUCCGAUCGGUCUCUUUUGUAAUUAUUUUUUCUGACGUGCCAAUGAAAAUAUGAAAAUCAGACUUUCUAUUUGAUACAGAGAUAUGUUUCAAAGAUAAAGGUUGACUGGAUAGUAGCUCAAAUGUUUAAGGGGAACAAAUAGGUUUCUAACAAAAAAUACAAAAAAAGAGCAUGCAAUGAUAAUACCAUUAGAUGUCAAAAUUAAGGCUUCGUUUGCCUUCUGGGCUAAUAUAGAAUGAAAAUUUUCCUUACUAAUAGAAAAUUUAUGGGUAUUUUAUAAAAUUAAACACUACUAGAUGUCAAGUAAAAAUUGGAGUAUAUUAUCAAUAAAUAAUUGUGAAAAAUAACCUACUUAAUUAAAAGCCAAACUGACAAAGUGUUUGCAGCUGAUUAGGUGUGCAAAAAGCUAGCCGAAACAAAUAUAGCCCAAUUACGAUCCAGAGUCGUAUGCGUAGGGGGGUUAUGACUUAUAACCGUAGCUAAAGCCCAAAGCUGUUAGUUCGGGUUUUGAUUUUUGAAUUUAUAGCAUUAUAAUGAUUAAUGAAACCGCUAUACUAUGAUUAACAAAUUAAAGCUGCUCUUUCAGCAUUACCUCGCCUCUUCUUUGUGUGGCCGCUGCGAUUGUCAAUCUUAUCAGUCUCUAUAUCUUCUUUAUAAUUGCAGUCGUCAUCCAGACACGUUGGAAGACCUGCAAUUAGAACUACAAUUGAAUUUAACUAUAUAUAUUCUAAGUUCUGAUAAUGCAACAAAACAUUUUUUUUUAAUUUAUGCUUAAAUACAAAUUAACUAAAAUGUUUCUCCUAAUCCAUUUUUUUAUGUUCCCAUCGUAGCCGCAUGCACCCAUGACAACGCGACUAUAUAGAUCCAUUUGGGGUAACUGCGCUGCCACAGUGUAGCUCCUCCACCCCCUUGAUUUUAAGAAGAUUCUCUUAAAGUAAAGGGUAGAGCAGCUACCCCAAACGGCCCCCACAUCCCUUUAGAGAUUAAAUUAUAUUUGCAUAUAAUUAAUAUAUUAAAAACAUUAAGAAAAAGUAAAGGCGGGUAGAGUGUUGGGCAGAAAUAACAGUAUCCCCGUUGGGGCAGGUGGACCAUUGUUUCCGUAUAUUUUCCAUGAGAACGCUGAUAUUAUGAAAAAAAAAAAUACUGAAAGAAACAAAAUUAAAUGCAAUCAAAUUUGCAUGGUUCAUUGCUAAUACUGUAACCCGGACCGAAUGUAUGUAUAAUAGACAAAGUCAAUAUUGAUGCUUAUUCAUUUUUAUAACUUUUCUCUGCUGUAAAUCUCUUUUAUGUAUAUUUUAGUUACGAUCGACCGUACAAUCAGUCGAACAAAUUGUUCUCUUGUAUUACAAAUAUUGAGUGAACUCAAUGAGAAAUAGUAGAGUCAUAUUUUCCAAACCUGACAUCAAACAAUGUAUCCACGCACGAUAAUGGAAAGGACUCUUGAUCAUUCCCCUCUUGUCAUCCGCACUCUUGAAAGCAUCUGGCAUUAGAGUUAGUAGUUCAAGACAUGUAAAGCCCUUAAGCUUGUCGGACGUGGACGAGAGCUCGUCGGACUUCGGCGUUCCUCGUUUUUCUGCAAGGCUUGAGUACUCGCUCUUAAGUAACCAAAUAGCCGUCUCUGUACGUAGUCGAGAAAAUUAAUUAAUCAGUUAAGAAAAUAAUAAUAAAUUUUUUAACCCUUGAUCUAUAAACGCAUGAAUUAAUUGGAGAUUUAAUUAUUAGAUAUUACCGAAGUGUUGGCCGAGGACAGCCAUAUGAAGAAUUGUCAUAUCAUCGUUUUCUCUAUUGAAAUGAUAACUUGAGUCACAAAAUUGCUCAGUCAAGAUUUGCAGCACUUUAGUUUUUCCAAGAGCGGCAGCCCUGUAAACUGGAGUUUCCCCCAAAAGGUUACGAACCCUGAGUAGAUUUUCGUGCGCAUCAACAGACAUUCUGGAAAAGUCAACCAAAACCCUGGCCACGGUGAAAUCUUCGACGACGGCCGCUUCGUGAAGACCAGUGUUUCCAAACGCAUCUCUUUGCUUCAAGGCUUCAAGUCUGGUAUCUGGUGUUAGCCUUUCGAGAAAUUUCUGGAUCAGCUGAGGGUCUUCCAUGGCCGCUGCAAUGUGAAUUGCGGAGUCUCCAUUGGCUGUCCUGUAAUCCAACAACUCUUUAUCAGGCCGAUCAGCAAAGCACUUCAAGAAGCCUUCACAGUCUCCCUUCAAGGCCAUUCCAACAGGAUCUCCCAUCGCCCUCUCUCUCUCUCUCUCUCUCUCUCUCUCUCUCUCUCUCUCUCUCUCUCUCUCUCUUUCUCACUUGUAUAAUUGAUGCACAGAACAAGCUAUACGUGUUCUUCGAUAUCCAUAUAAUUAAUUACUUCCAUCGCCGUCCCUUAUAUAGAAGUUCUAAACGAAGUUGGCAUAAUCACUUUGCCUAUUUUACUAAUAAAGCUCGAGCAUUAUAAGGAAAAAAAAAAGUUUUAAAGUGACAAAACGGAAAAGAUGAUAAAAGAACAAAGUUCUGAAAAGAGAAGUGAUUAUUGAUGAAAAUUUGUUUGCAUUGUACGGUAUUGUUCCCUUAAAUUCAUAGAAUGUGGAGUUACCAAAAGACCAAAGUUAAAAGUAAAAUAAAAUUAUUAUGUUUGAGAUCAAAGAGAAAAAGAAUAAGAAAAAGAAAACGCAUGCAAUUAAAAAUGAUAUUUUUUGUUGAUUCAAGAGGCCAAUCACCUCUGAAAUGAAAUUAGCUUUUGUCUUUCUGUGUGUUUGGGAACGAUAUAUUAUAUAUGCAAAAACGAACAGUUGUAUCUAAAAUUACAUUUGGGAAAGUAUAAAGAUCACGUUCCACGUCAUAACGUUUGUUAACAAAUGAUGUCAAUAAAAAGAAUAGAAUAUAUAAAUUAUUUCCAGGCUCAAGUUACAGCUCCGAGAAGGUGUAUGGUCCAUGUUGUACAUCAUAAGGUUUGUUAAUCAAUGGUGUCAGAAAAAUAGAGUAGAAUAUAUAUAAUUUAUUUCCACAACUUAAUUUUGUCUCCAUUGCUUUUUCCGCGAAUAUAUAUAAAAAGAGUGGGAGAGAUCCUAACCCUUACUUUAAUAACAUGGUGAUUAUUGUAAACGCUAUUGUGCUUUGACUAGACUAAAGCCUUUUGCUAUUCUACAUGUUAUCAUUAUUUCUCGUCAUGAAGUGGCAGCCAAUCAUUAAAAAAUAAAUAAAAAUGUAAAAAUAUUUGGAAAGUUUAAAACUUAUGAUAGAAUUUGGCCUUAUUUUGUAUAGAUGUGUUGUGAAAAUCAACUGUAUACUCUAUUGUAAAUAUAGCUUUGGAAAAAUAUCUUUACUGAAUUUUAUCGUACAACUAUAGAAUAAAAUCAACUUAGCUUCUAAACCAUAACAGUAACUAUUUAUUAAACACUUUAUUGAUCUAUUUUAAAAGCUUCCACUGCUUAAUUACAAUACCAAACAAGAUGUUGAUCUAAGUUGGUUCUAACCACAAUACCAAAUAGGGACUUACAUUCUAUCAGUUAAGUCUUUAAGUUUAUUUGUUUUUUUAACUUAUUAAAAAUUUUCAAUCAUUAAGCUAUUAAGCCAAUUUUCUUAGCUUCUUAUUUAAUCUAAAAAGUCUGAAUAAUGUUAUUAAAGAUAUUAUUUAAAAUAUUCCUAUCCAACUAAUUUAUUUUCAUCUUUACCUAAAUAAAACUUACUAAUUAGCAUACUAUUCAUCUUUAUAACUUGUGAGAAUAUAGUAUAUUUUUAUUUUAAUCUUUUUUAUUUUCUUCAAAUUAGCAUUAUCUAUUUUCAUAAUUUUUUAUGAGUAUUUUUUAUAUGAAACACCAUAAAGUGCAAUAGAAUUGAUUCACACGUUCUAAUUUAGAAUAUUAAAGGGUUGUAUUCACCUGAACAUGAUUCAUGUUAUGAUAGAAUAAUAUCAUAUUUUUGUUCAAUGAGAUUUUAUUAUUUAUUUGACAUUUGAAAUGUAUGAGCGUACAAAUGUAAAAGUAUUAGUUUUUAGAUUUUUAAGUUGAAAAAAAUAAUUAUUGUUCAAAAAUUUAUAUUAAAAAAAUAUGUUAUUUGGAUUUAAACGUUUAGCUCUAUUCAAAAUUCAGACUAACUUGGGUCUACUCAAAUUUUAGAUAAAAAAACAAAUGUCACCUAAGUAAAUCUAUGAUGAUACAAGCAUAUUAGUAUUUAAAAAAAAAUCAGCAUCUUCUUUUUUCAAAUAUUACACAAUAUAAAUUAAGCUUCAUAGAAUGCGAGUGUGAAUGGAAUUUAAAGCAUAUGGCCAUUCUUCCAUAGCUGUCCUUAUCUCAUCCAUAAGUGCCAUCUCUGUCUCUCACGUAGUCACUGUAUAAUUGAGACACAAAACAAGCUAUACGUGUUCUUCGAUAUCCUUAAUUUUACUUGUCUUAAUAUAUAUGAGUAGGUUUGAUGCAUCCUUCUACAAAUUCUCUAAACUAAGUUGGCAUAAUUAUAAGAAUAAAAUAAAGUUAAAGUCUGUCGGGUCAGGGAAAAGAAUAGAAUAAAUUAUUUAAUUUUCCAAAUAACUUCAGUCUUUCCGCGAACAUAAUAAUCACAUUUAAUCUACCGUGUUCUUCGAUAUCCUUAAUUUUACUUGUCUUAAUAGAUAUGAGGUAGGUUUGAUGCACGCUUCUACAAAUUCUCUAAACGCAGUUUGUUAUAAUUAUAAGAAUAAAAUAAAGUUAAGUCUGUUGGGUCAGGAAAAAGAACAGAAUAAAUUAUUUAAUUUCCAAACAACUUUUGUCUUUCCGCGAAUAUAAUAAUCAAAUUUAUUCUACCGCUUUUGUCUCCAUUGCUGAAUUUGUCCGCGAAUAUAAAAAUCUCCAUUUUAUUUAAGUAAAGGCGAUUGUACUGUGCCUAAGCGUAAAGCCAUUUGCUAUUUUGGCGGCUACAUGUGUUACAGGCCAAUCCACGUGCCAAGAAUAGACAGGACUUGUCCAUGCAUAUCUUCGUGCGCCUCGUACUCUUAAAAGCGGAUGCCAUUAGAGCCAGUGGUUGCAGGCAUGUCAAGCCAUCGUCCUUCUUGGACUUGGUUCUUUUCCACGACUGGACUCGCGAUUAAGUAACCAAAUAGCAGUGUCUCUGUGCGUGAUAAGUCCACGAAUCAUCAGUUUGAAGCAACUGUGGCAACAUGCGCUGCAUUAGCUAGCCAGGGGUCUACACUCUACACAAAGACCCCUUUAAGGCAAAUUCUGGAUGUUAGAGAUUAUACUAAUGAAGAAUUUGGUCACCUUGAACAUAACUCAAUAGCAACAGACCUGAUGCCUCCCAACGGCUCCUAGAAUAUCAUGCAUAAGAUUAAGUCAUGAGAUUGCAUCAACGAUGAAGCCUUUAGUUUAGGUAAAUAUCUUUGUAAUUAUGAGAUGUGUUUUAUUCCUUUUAAAGCAUGAUACAACUUGUAUAUAUGCUGUACGAUUUGUUUGAGUAGAAACAAUCUCAAUUACUUUCUCAUAUUUACAUUUUCCACAGCACGUAUUCAAGCAGGACAGAAAUGUAAUUAAUUAAUUAAUUAAAAAGAUAGCAAUAAAUGUUUAAACUCUUGAUAUAUAAAUAAAUAAAUAAAUUCAUUAAUAUAAAUAUAUUCACUACUAAUCAUAUAUAAAUAAAUAAAUUCAUUAAUAUACAUAUUUUAGUUUUCUAAAAUACAGAAUGAAUGGAAAGAUUUAAUCAUUAUUACCCAAGUGUUUGGCAAGGACAGCAAUAUGAAGAAUGGAAAUUUUGUCCCAACAAAUCUUCGGCAGUUAGUUGAGCAAAGUAAUCCGAGAAGGCCUCACAGUCUCUCUUUAAGGCCAUUUGUCAUCAUCUCCACUGCUAUCUAUCUCUUUCUCACUUGUACAGUUGAUACACGGAACAAGUUGUACGUACGCGUUCUUCGAUAUCCGUAAUUUUAAAAUUGACCAUUUUCUCACUCCAAGAAAUCUGGGAUAUGACAUAAUAGAACUAGAUCUCGUUUCUACUGCGGUGUUGUGGGAAAAAAAGGAUAUAGCUAAAAUAAAAGUCAAUAGUUUAUGAUAAAUAUAGUUUUUAAAUAAUUAAAUAAAAAUAGUAAAGGAUAUUAUAGAUAUUCAUUGUAUAAGUGUGGGAUAAAAUUAACUUAAUUUUUAAAUCAUAAGUCAAUAGUAAUAAAUAUUUGCCAAAGAUUUUAAUGUUGUAGUUUAAAAAGCUACUCUAUGCACAUCCUUGAUUGUACAAGCAUAUUAUUAUUAAAAAAAUUAUUAUCUAUUUUUUUUGUUAGUUACUUCUUUUUCCAAUUAUUGCAAAAUAUAGACAAAACUCAUGCUUGGUCGAACGUUUUUAUUGUUAAUAGAUUAAUGUAAGUUGACUAUAAACUUGGUUGAUAUUCAGUAUUCGACGUAAUGUCUUGGCCGGAUGUGGUUAUUCCAUUGCAUCAAUUAAUUGUACGGUUGAAUACCAUGAUUGUUUUGCCUUAAAACAUUUUCUAAUUUCUUGCUUGGACGUUCUUCAAUAUUGAGAAAUAUAUUUAAUUUUCUCCGAAUUUUUUUUUUCUUUCAUAGUGACAUAAUCCAAAAAUUUAAGGGUCCAUUUGAUUACAAUUCAAAAAUAAUUUAAACAAAUAUAAUCUCAAAAUUUGUGUUGAAGUUUUAAUGUGUUUACUUUUUAUUAUUUAGCCUGACAGCACUCAAUUCCCUCUCCACCUAUGUGAACGGAAUUUAACUCCUAAAUCUCUUGUUUCAAGAAACUAAAAGAGAUUUUACUAUCUUAACUAAAUGGUAACUACAAGCUUUAAAUGUCUUUAUAUAAUAUUUAAAACAAAUAAUUUCAACAACUGAAACAUGUUUAACAAAAUUUCUAAUUAAUAAAAAAUAAAAAUACUUGUUUAGGUGGCGUGAUUUCAAAGGUAAUAUUUACUUAAGCAUUUACAAUUUUAUUUUCCUUUCAGCUAAUUACAUUAUAUCAAGCAGUAACUUGACCAAAAUAAACAUAAAACAAGCUUCAUCAAGAUUCAAUAUUGAUUAUAUUCUGUUAGCUUCUAUUCUGUUACAUUAUACCUGUUAGGCUUGCCACCAAAUAAAAGCUGGGGCAGUUGUCUGUCACUUUGCACGUUCAUCUACUUAGCAUCAGGACAAUGCUUAGAUGCCCAUUUUCGGAACCUGUUAACGGCAGCUUCUUGCUCUGCUCUGGCCACCUUCUCAAUCUCAGAAAGAUAUUCCCGAUCAACCAACAUCCCCUCAGUUUCCAUUUUAACUAGAAUCUCACCAAAUGGUUGCCAGUAUUCCUGAUAAAAGUCAAACAUGGAUUUUCCUGGAACUGGUUUCCCAUCAAGUUUCCAUGACAUUUCUAAAAGUAUUUUUUUUCGAGCUCUUACAAAGCUUCAGUGUGUUUAUUGAAUCAAAGGCAGAAUAAGAGAUCCACAAUUCUCGCUCCUCUCUUUGAAGCUCUUCAACAGGAGCAAUGGUGCUUAUUUUGCCAGCAGAUCCAUCCUUUUUCAGCUUUCUCCUGCCAAAGAUAUCUUUCAUUGAUAUUUUGCCCAUGAAACCCUCAUCUGUGUUGUCCUUAGACAUGUCUUUCUGAUAAGCUUUCUUAUCCUCAGACAUGACUUUCCGAUCACCUGUAAGUGCUUCAGACUGUAACCACCCUCUGUGCGUCUCGAUGAAUCCCAAAGCUGUGCCAUAUGCAUUGUGUCAGCAUGAAAACCAGAAACCUUCAGCCCAUAGUUCUCAAGGACAUGGUUAUCAAAGCUAUAGUUAUGCCAAACCUACACAAAUGAUAGCUGUUAAUAUAAAGAUCAUAUGAAAAAGCAGACGACAUAAUUUUUUUUUCUUUUUUUGUGAUCCAAGUAAACUAAUACGGAGUAAAGCAGUUUGUUUAGCUAAGUAAAGGAAAUUGGAUCAGUUACGUCUAUAGAAGGUGGAAACAGCUAGAAAUCCACCAUAAAAGAGAGAGAGAGAGAGCACAGAGAGAGGAAACAGCUCUGCAACUGAGCAGAGUAUUUCCUUUCUUUGAUCGGUGUUGGAAAUUAGGCCUUGAUUUUAGCCUUAAUCCUAGAGAUAUUUUAGGAUCCUUUCCUCUGUAAAUAUAGAUGAUAGCUGUCAAAUAUUAGCUCUUAAUUAGUUUCCUUUUCUGUUAUAAUUGCUCUAUUUAAAAGGGAUCCUUGUACUGAUUGUAAAUAUGAAGGAUAAUACUUUUUCCUCAUAAUUUCUAAGUUGGUAUCAGAGCAUAGGGAAUCGUGUCUGCAACCAUGUCAGAAGUCACGUCUGAAACCACUCCAACCCCUGCUGCUGCCAUUCCAGAAAAAACAUCUGAGACCCUGCGAAACCACUCCAACUCUCAUUCUGUUCAAAUCACCACCAUCCGCUUAAAUGGCGACAACUUCCUCCGCUAGUCGCAAUCUGUCCGGAUGUAUAUCCGUGGGCAAGGAAAAAUUGGUUACAUCACUGGUGACAAGAAGGUUCCUGCUAAUGAUGAUCCGCUGUAUGCCACUUGGGAUGCUGAAAAUUCCAUGGUUAUGACAUGGCUGGUCAACUCCAUGGAGGAGGAUAUAAGCUCCAAUUAUAUGUGCUAUCCUACUGCUAAAGAAUUGUGGGACAACGUUAGUCAGAUGUAUUCUGACCUGGGCAACCAAUCUCAGGUUUUUGAGUUAACUUUAAGGUUGGGAGAGAUUCGUCAAGGUGAUGAUUCUGUCACCAAAUAUUUCAAUUCUUUGAAAAGGUUGUGGCAAGAUCUUGACCUCUUCAACACAUAUGAAUGGAAAUCCGCUGAUGACUGCAACCACCACAAGAAAACUGUGGAAGACAGUCGUAUUUACAAGUUUCUUGCAGGCCUCAAUGUUGAGUUUGAUGAAGUACGAGGGAGGAUUAUUGGCAGACCUCCUCUACCACCCAUUGGCAAAGUCUUUGCUGAAGUCAGAAGAGAAGAAAGCCGAAGGAGCGUAAUGCUCAGGAAAAGGAGUACCGGUGAGUCAAUUGAGAAUUCUGCCUUAAUUACUGAUGCAGCAGCCUACAAGACUGCAAAUUAUCAGCGCAGGUCUGAUGAUAAGUCACAGGCAUGGUGCGAUCAUUGCCACAAGCCUCGCCAUACACGUGAGAAGUGUUGGAAGCUUCAUGGCAAACCUGAAAUCCUAUAGCCCUUUCUUGUUUAAACUCUUCUCCAUGGAUCAUAGAUUCUGGAGCCUCUGAUCACAUGACUAGUUCUUUUCAUUUAUUUAAUACCUAUUCUCCUUGUUCUGGAAAUCAAAAAAUUAGAAUUGUCGAUGGUAGUUUUUCACCUAUUGCAGGAAAAGGACUUAUCAAACUGACCGAGAAAAUUAAUCUCAAUUCUGUUCUUCAUGUCCCUAAAUUAGCCUGCAGUCUUUUGUCUGUUAGCAAAUUAUCUAGAGAUUCUAAUUGUCGUAUUACCUUCUUUGAAUCACAUUGUGAAUUUCAGGACCAGAACUCGGGGAUGAUGAUUGGACGUGCUAGGAUGAUUGAAGGUCUUUACUACUUUGAUGAAGUACUUAUUAGUAAUAAAAAAGCUCAGAACUUUAUUAGUACUAGUUCAAUUUCUGUUCGAGAAAAAAUAAUGCUAUGGCACUAUAGACUAGGACAUCCUAGUUUCUUUAUUUGAAAUACUUAUUUCCAGAAUUAUUUAAAGGGAUUGAUUGCUCUUCUUUUUAUUGUGAAUGUUGCACUUUUGCAAAACUUCAUCGUUCUACUUAUUUGCCAAAACAGUACCAGGCCUCUAAACCUUUUUAUUUGAUUCAUAGUGAUGUUUGGGGUCCUUCUAAGGUCACUACCCUUUCCGGUAAAAAAUGGUUUGUUACUUUUAUUGAUGACCAUACUCGUUUAUGUUGGAUUUAUCUCAUGCAUAAAAAAUCUGACGUAAAAUAUUUAUUUGAAAAUUUUUACACUAUGAUUGAAAAUCAAUUUCAAACUAGAAUUGGUAUUUUACAUUCUGACAAUGGAACAGAAUAUUUCAAUGAGCACUUGGGUGAGUUUUUGAAUGAUAAAGGCAUUUUUCAUCAAUCUACAUGUCGGAAUACCCCUCAACAAAAUGGCAUUGCAGAAUGGAAAAAUAAACAUUUACUUGAAGUAGCACGUGCCAUAAUGUUUUACAUGCAUAUUCCUAAGUAUUUAUGGGGUGAAGCGGUUUUAACAGCAGCUUAUUUAAUAAACAGGAUGCCUACCAAGGUGUUAAAAUACAAAACACCUCUUGAUUGCCUUAAAGAAUUUUUUCCUGCAACAAGGUUGUUUUCUGAUUUACCUGUCAAAGUUUUUGGGUGUACUGUCUAUGUUCAUGUUCCAAGUCAAUUUCGUUCAAAACUUGACCCACGUGCUAUAAAGUGUGUAUUUUUGGGUUAUUCAUCGAACAAAAAGGGGUAUAAGUGUUUUGACCCUCAAACAAAAACAUUUCAUGUGAAUAUGGAUGUGUCGUUUUUGGAAAAAACUCCUUAUUUCAUAAAAAAUUCUCUUCAGGGGGAGACAAAUGGAGUAGAAGACAAUUUUUGGGACAUUUCUAUCCCACUUCCAAAAGUUAUUUGUCCUAUUCAAGGACCACACUUUUCUGAUAAUGAUCAGUUGAGAAAAACAAGUUCUUUAGAGCCUAGUACAAGAGAUUCUCGUUCAGGGGGAGAAGUACUACAAACAGAUCAACAUGAUCUAAAUUCUGAACUUCAGGUUUAUACUAGAAAGAGAUUUCAUCUGAGAAGUAAAGACUUGAAUGUCAAUCCUACACAAGCCCAAUUUGAAAAACUGAGUUCCAGCACUGAAAUUUCAGGUAAUCAAAUCCCAACUCCAGCUUUGAUUCCUUCGAUUGUUUCCAAUAAUUCACCAAUUAUUUCUGAUCUUGAUGUCCCUAUAGCUAUUAGGAAAGGUGUUCGAAACUGCACCAAACAUCCUAUUGCAAAUUAUCUUUCCUAUCAAAGGCUGUCAAAAAACCAUAAAACUUUCACAUCUAGGAUUUCACACUUGUUUGUUCCAAGAAAUGUACAGGAAGCACUGGAUGACCCGAAUUGGAAAUUAGCAGUCAUGGAAGAGAUGAAUGCCUUGAGGAGAAGUGGUACUUGGGAGAUAGUUGAUCCACCCAGAGACAAGAAAAUAGUUGGGUGUAAGUGGGUGUUUACGAUAAAAUGUAAUGCGGAUGGAAGCGUUGAGAGGUACAAGGCGAGGCUGGUGGCUAAAGGCUUCACUCAGACUUAUGGGAUUGACUAUCAGGAGACUUUUGCUCCUGUUGCUAAAAUAAAUUCUAUCAAAAUUUUGUUAUCUCUUGCAGUGAAUUGUGAUUGGCCUUUACACCAACUUGACGUUAAAAAUGCAUUUCUCAAUGGUGAUCUUAAAGAGGAGGUGUUCAUGAGUCUACCACCAGGAUUUGAGAAGAGUCUUGGUAGUGAUAAAGUCUGCAGAUUAAGAAAGUCAUUAUAUGGUCUCAAACAGUCACCAAGAGCAUGGUUUGAACGCUUUGGAAAGGCAGUUAUCAAUUAUGGCUUCUUGCAGAAUCAAGGGGAUCACACAAUAUUUUAUAAACACUCAAAAGACGGUAAAAUUGCAAUUUUGAUUGUUUACGUUGAUGAUAUCAUUUUAACCGGUGAUGAUGAAACAGAAUUAGCAGCCCUCAAGAAGAGACUUGCAAAGAAGUUUCAAAUUAAGGAUUUGGGAGUCCUUAAGUAUUUCCUUGGAAUGGAAUUUGCAAGAUCCAAGGAAGGUAUAUUUGUGAAUCAGAGGAAAUAUGUUCUUGAUCUCCUUGGAGAAACAGGUUUGCUUGGUUGUAAGAUGGUAGAGACCCCAAUUGAUCCUAACUUGAAGUUACCACCUGCUAAGGUUGAAGAAGUAAAGGAUAGGGAACAGUAUCAAAAACUCGUAGGGAAGUUGAUCUACUUGUCUCAUACGCGACCUGAUAUCGCCUUUGCAGUCAGCAUGGUAAGUCAGUUUAUGCACUCACCAGGGGCUGAGCAUUUUGAGGCAGUCUACAGGAUCUUAAGAUACCUAAAAGGAACUCCAGGGAGGGGCCUAAUGUUCAAAAAACAUGGACAUCUUCAAGUUGAAGUCUACACAGAUGCAGACUGGGCAGGAAGUGUCACUGACAGGAGAUCAACAUCUGGCUACUGUUCCUUUGUUGGUGGGAACCUAGUUACAUGGCGGAGUAAAAAACAGAAUGUGGUUGCUAGAAGUAGUGCAGAAGCAGAAUUCAGAGCUGUUGCCCAUGGAAUCUGCGAGGUUAUGUGGAUAAAAAGAAUUCUUGAAGAACUGAAAUUUACUUUCUCAACUCCUUUGAAAGUCUAUUGUGACAACAAAACUGCUAUUUCUAUAGCUCAUAAUCCAGUUCUUCAUGAUCGAACAAAACAUAUAGAAGUGGAUAAACACUUCAUCAAGGAGAAACUCAACACUGGAAUAAUAUGUAUGACAUAUCUUCCAACAACUGAACAGUUAGCUGAUGUAUUAACAAAGGGAUUGCACAAGAAGCAAUUUGAUAAGUUGACUAGCAAGCUGGCUAUGGAAGAUAUCUUCAAACCAGCUUGAGGGGGAGUGUUGGAAAUUAGGCCUUGAUUUUAGCCUUAAUCCUAGAGAUAUUUUAGGAUCCUUUCCUCUGUAAAUAUAGAUGAUAGCUGUCAAAUAUUAGCUCUUAAUUAGUUUCCUUUUCUGUUAUAAUUGCUCUAUUUAAAAGGGAUCCUUGUACUGAUUGUAAAUAUGAAGGAUACUACUUUUUCCCCUCAAUUUCCCCCUCGAACAUGACUAGUUCUUUUCAUAAAUAUGAAGGAUACUACUUUUUCCUCAUAUUUUCCUCAACUAACAUAAAUAGCUAUCUAAGGGGGAAAUUGGAGUUUUAGGUUUCAUCAAAUCUAUGAACUGUACCACACGGGUAGGAGAACAUAGCAUAGAUGUAGAGGUAAACUUGUAACCCAGUAGACAGCAAUGGGAACCCUAGCUUAAAUUGGAAAAGAGCAACAAAACUUGAGGAGAAAAUGCACAGCGUAGGCAGUCACCCUAAAUCUUAAACCUGUCACUGCAAAGCAAUGACAAUAAAACUCCAUCUAAUUAAACCAUAAUAUGUGAAAAAUCAGUUAUCCAGAAAUUUACUAAAGCGCAUAACCAGCUGCAAGUCCAAUGCUUGAACCGUGCACCAAUCACAUAAUGACUGGUGCAGAUUAUCAAAGAAAUAUCCGCCAAUCCAUUUCUCCAUACUGCUAACCAGAUGAUAAAUAUUCUAAUUAAAAAAAAGCGUGCAUAUGAAAAGGACUAUAAACAAGAAAAAGACGUGGUGAAGGGGGAGGAAGGGCUCACCUUUUUGAUGGAUGGAUCCUCAAAAAAUGGAGCAAAUUCAUUCAAAAGGUCCCUGCCACCACCGUCAAGAAGAUCAACCCAGAUGCAGGACUUCCCACUUCCAAAAUCUGCUUCCGGUCCAGAAUAAAUACUGAAGCAUAUCACUUCUCCAUGAUCAACAGGUGUCUCUUGCUUCACAUCAAUUUUGGCCACCUAUAAACAUGCUAUAAUUAGAUUCCUGUAUGCACAAAACUAGGGUAUCUACAUUGAGUAAAAUGUGUGCUUCUAUACAGGAAGACAUGCAAGGAAGAAGUAAAAAAGAAGGCAACUAAGUACAUCACUCAUUACCUGCCGACCAAAAAAAAAAAAAAAAAGUACCAAUUUCAACUAGAAGAAGAAAAGAACAAAGUACCUCAGUAUCACAUGCAUGGACAAGAUGCUUAUAUUUGUUUGUAAGCAUCCAUACAACCUUCUUUGCGGCAGAAACAUUAUCGACAACCAUAACAUUGCUGUAGAAGCUAGCAAGUUUACUGCGAAGAAUCUCGAGUUUUUCACUAUUUUCAUUUUCUGAAGCCUUUUUGUUCUGGCCAGUACCUUCUGCAGCAUCAUUCUUAGGAUUCUUUUGAUUACUUCGCUUAGAACUAACUAGUUUUGGAGGAGGUGAAUAGGAACUACCAUCUUCAAAGCACUCAAUCUCUGAGUUCCUGAAAUCUGACAAGUUGGGAGCUGUCAAAACAGUGGCUCCUUUUCUCUCUUGAUAUUCUGCAACUUCCUUUUCAUAUCGCAAGCACUCCAUAUUAGUCUUCUUGUCUAAGGGUAUUUGAUCAUUCACAAAGUCUUCGCUUUUUUCUUCACUGCUGGUAACUUCUUGUUUAAUAACAGCCAUCACAGAUCCAGGAUGAUUCGUAGGAUGACCACCUACUGCACCAUUUCGGAAAUCUGCCAGUCCCUAACAAUGGGCUUCUUCUGCUGCUUAAAUUUCUGAAAAUAAUGUUGCUUAGAACUCGUGAUUGAAGAAUAGAAACUACUGUCUUGCAAGCACUCAGUCUUUGAUGAAGUAAGUGAUCUGUCAUGCUUGGAUUCCAGUAUGUUGAUAACAGUGGAAAUGGCAGCUCUUUUUCUCUCUUGAGCUUUUGCAUCUUCCUUCUCAUCUCUCGAGCUCUCUGUAUUUGUCUGACAAGAUUCUACUUCUUUCAUUACAUGCAGUCUGGUCGUUUCUGUCAUCCACCCUCUCGAACUGUGGACAGUACUUUUUGCAGAAAAUGUUUCAUUACUGGAAAUAGAAGGAUUAGGACGAUAGUAGGAUGCAACCUCCAGAAAUUGUUUUUUGUAAAGUUUUUCUUCUCUUUUUUCAUCUGUUUUUUGGCAGAUCAAAAGUUCCUUUUGAGGAGUACUUUCCUUCAAAACUGUUGAGAUCUUGGCAGAAAGGGACCAUCUUAGCUGGCGCAGCACCCACCGAAAGUCUAUAAGCAUAUUUUUUAAUGGGAAAUCUCCUAGCAUUGUUAAAAGAACUAUAAAAUUGGGGAAAACUACUCGAUAUCAUAAUGUUGGGAAAGGUAGUGUUGGUUACGCAGCCUUCUUUCCUGAAAUUUUUUUCAAUGGAAACAAUAUCAACGGCAGCAGAAGGUCAAGCAACCAUGGUAAUAUACAACUUGCUGCAUGCCAAGUAAGAAAGGCGGAAC